This 60656-nucleotide long non-coding RNA is filed under the name Eucalyptus grandis. RNAcentral's name for it is "long non-coding RNA (EGRA_LNC002639)". Lineage: Eukaryota; Viridiplantae; Streptophyta; Magnoliopsida; Myrtales; Myrtaceae. The record is from RNAcentral.
UAACUUUCGUUAUUUUAUUCAUCAGAACAUAAGCCUAUUAAAUAGGCAGAACAUCCAAACCACUUAGCAAGAAAAUAGCUAUAGAACAACAACAACAAAGACCCACUAACAUACCCCACUAACCAGAACAUAUGCAGAAACUAACUCCUAAAAACAAGCCACUUCCUAUUGACUAGGACUCCACUAUUACAUUAUUGAAGACACAUAAAAACAAAGUUAACUACUUCAACAAUUGAUGGUGUCACUUCAAGGAGUUCUCAAUGUCGAUCACGAAUCGAUACUUAACAUCUCUCUUGAUGAGCCUCUCCAGAGCUUCGUUGGCAUAAUCGAUCGGUAUCACUUCGAUGUUUGGGUAUAUCUUCUGUGCUGCACACAGGUCUAUCAUUUCUUGGGUAUCCUUUGUUCCUCCCGUUACGCUACCUGAAACAGUUCUCAUAUCUGCCAAAAGUUCACCGCAAGCAACUUAGUUCACCUAUCAGGUAUAAAAUUUCAUUUAGUAAUCAGAUUUGAGAACAAAAACAUACUGAGGUUAAGGCUGGCUGGACUGAAUUUAACUUCGCUCAGGAAGCCGACCAAUGCUAGAAUGCCACCCGUCUUCAAAAGAGACAUGUAAGGAUCAAAUGGGUGAUCACCGGCUGCCGUGUCGAUUAUAAAGUCCAGGGACUUAGCAAUGGCCUGCAUGCAUUGGAUUUAUCAGAUCACAACAGAAUUUGACCACCAUGGAUCUCAAUGUGGAUAAUUCUAGUUUUUCCUCUUUUUACCUUCAUCUGCUCUAGGUCAGAUGAGAUAACGAAAUGGUCAGCCCCAAGCAGGCUCAGUGCUUCCUCCUUUUUAGAAAUGCUUGUACUGAACACUGUGACUUUCAGUCCAAAAGCCUUCCCAAACUUAACUGCCAUAUGACCGAGCCCGCCAAGUCCAAUUACACCUAGAGACUUACCAGGUUGGUUCAUCUUGUGACGUAUCAUUGGAGUGUACACCGUGAUUCCAGCACAGAGCAAUGGCGCUGCUAGAUCCAUCGGGUAGUUUUCUGGAAUCCUGAAGCAAUACCUGUCAAUGAAGCACCACAAUUAAGUUUCCAAAUAACACCAAGAGAGGAAGUGAUUUCCCAAUAGAAUCAGCAUCUUGUCUUUGUUGUCUAAAAGGAAUCAAAUCACAGAGCCAGAAAUCCUAUCUUCUGCAUGCUUGGGAAUUUUACUUGCUUAGACCACAAUUCAGCAUCAUGUUGUUUCUGUGAUCCUUGUUCUGACCACAAAUUGCUCUAGACAAACAUUUCUUGCUGUAGCAAUGUAAAUAAAGCAAUUGCAGAAUACAGGAGGCCACACUCGAUUAAAAUUAAGAAAAGACACUUGCUCUAAGAAAGGAAACUGGUGGCAUAUCACAUAUGCUUGACUGAACACGUAAUUUCUCUAUUUCCUUCAAUCAAUUUCUCCAAGGGACACAAGAUUCCUGUGGCUCUAUCAGAUACAAGAAUUAGUGAAAGCACAUACAUUUAGCUACCCAUUUGAUCUGAUACUUAUGAUCUAACUCUAACAAUCUAAGGACAGCUUAUUCCAUUCCUGACAAUGGUUAUUGAAAAGAAAGAAUUUCUUUUUGCAUUUAAUAAAGCCAAUUCUCCAUUGAAUGGUUUGAAUGGUAAUUAGAUACAAAGGACUUAAAGACUCUCCAGAGCCGUUAUAGAAAGUAUCUUUAUCCCUUUCCACAAGAUGCAAUUAAUACCUAAAAGCCAUUCCUCACAGUCCUAUGCAUUAUGCCACUUCUGGUCACAAUCAGAAAUUCAGAAUACAAAGAAAAUUAGCAGAGAAGAAGACAUGACAUGAAAUCUUUUUUUGGCCACCAUGAUUUGGAAUUCUGUCACAGUGCAAAAUGCUGCCUAAUAACGCUGUGUCAAUAAGCAAUUACCUUUCAUGGAUGACAAUGUGACUAGAAUAUCCUCCCUUUGUGACUGUACCGUCCGCAUCGAUUCCAUCAAAAGUCAAAACCGCCUUUUCACAUUGGGUUUCUAGCCUGUCAUUGCAAUACUCACACUCUCUGCAUGAAUUGACAUAAGUUCCCACCCCCACAUGAUCGCCAACUUUGAAGCGUUGGACACUGGAGCCAACCUGUUUCACAAUUCCAACUAUCUCGUGCCUGAAUCAAUCAAAAAAAUCAUUUGCAAAUUUUGUUCAGAGAAUUAUGAGGAUGGUGCUAAGAAAAAAAGAUUAACAUUUGAAUCACGCUGCAUCCUACCCUGGCACCAGAGGAUACUUGGAGUGUCCUUGCACAUUCCUAGUCCAAGCCACAUCUGCAUAGCACACUCCACAGUGCGUGAUCUUAAUCGAGACGUCUUCGCUUCCCACGGCCCUAAAGAGAUGAUUCCCAAACAGGUGAGCAUAUAAUCCAGUGACUAAUCAGACUAGGGUACCUUUUUUUUUCCAUUUUCAAGAUCAACAAACUAAGCUUGACCUACGAUUAUCGAGAAAACAAGAAACCAGAAAUGAGAAAAGGAAAAAUUCCAUGACUGCAAGCAUAUUUGUCCAUACGCUAGAUACAACCUCAAAUGCUCAGAAAGGCAGCCAGUACAGGAUCCUCAUGUCUGCCAUGAAAUUCUGAGUAACCCAUUACCAACAAUUCUCGACCCAGAAUUCAGCGCAUACACAACAAAAGAAAGAACGAAAAAAUGAAAUGGUCUGGACCGAAAACUGUCUCGCGUGAACACUGUACUGAGACUCUCGCAUGAACACUUUCGGUAGAAAUCGAAAAAGAAAAAAAAAUGGCAAUACCUGCGGGUGAAUUUGUAGGGGGAGAGGAACCCAGAAGGGUCCCGGGCAGCCCAACCGAGGCAAUCCUCCUUCCCACCCUCCGAGCUCAUCUUCUGUACCUACACACCCAGCGAAGCAAUCACACAAAUGGGUACGGUUAGAUUCAUCCAAAGGAGAAGAAGAAAGGGUGAGAACUCGAACGAGAAAGUGCCCAAGAUCAGAGACUCAACGGGUCAUCACUCGGCGAGGACUCGAGUCACAACGAGCUCGCCAUCACUCACCAACUCACUCACUCACCCACACCCACCUACCCAAACACAACCCCACGGGCCACAGCAACUCAGAGAGAGAGAGAGAGAGAGAGAGAGAUGACUACGGAGAUGGAGAUGAAGAGAGGUUACGCUGUGGAGUAUGCAGGAGCGCGAAGAGGGUGACGAGCCGAGCACAGUCGAGGACGGGAGGUUCAACGAAGACUUUUUUGCCCCCUCCUACUUCGCAGGAAAGCUGCGAGUAAUCCGAUGGAUUUUAUAGCGUUGGCCCGAGAUAGUUACGAAAAUAUUGGAAGGAAAAAUUAUCCGAAACUUUAACUCAACAUGUACCGUGAUCUAUAAGGAAAAAUAUAGUAUAUAGAAAUGAAAGAUGAGUAGAAAAAGAAAUGGACGAUUGCUGUCAAAUUAAAACUAUUCCCAAGUCAACUUGUCGGUCCCUUUCCUUCCAUUAUAAUCCUUUUUUAUAAUGUAACUGAAGAUUACUGGCUUUGUCACAACCAACGUAAACCCUCCAAAAGGUAAAAGAACUUAUGCAAAAGUAUAAAAAUGAAAGAUGUGUUGAAAAAAUGAGGACAAUAACCAAACGCGUGCAACUCAAUUGCACUUUUCGAUAAGGAUAAACUGUACCUCUCCUCAUCAUUGAAAGAGAUGGGAUUAAAUGCCUCUCCUCAUCAUUGAAAGAGAUGGGAUUAAAUGCAGACGUGAUUGACAUAGAGAUUAUCACAAGAAAUUAAAUAAAAAUAAGUCUUUCUUGGUAACGAGAUGUUUGUUCUCGUGACCGUGUAGGUCUUUCUAGGUUCUCUGACGCGUGCCAUGAGGUCAUGGCAUGUUAUGCAACCAAAUAUAUCCAUUCUAUAUUUCUAUGGUAACUAUCCAUCGUUACCUCCUGUGAACCUAAGAAGAACAAAACCAAUCCAUAAAGCUGUGGAGGAUCAAGAACAACCUGCCAUAAGUUAUUGAUGAACUCAGUUAAUUGUUCGAAGCCUUAGAAGCGAAUCAUUAAAACUUUAAGCAACUAAAAUGUCAGAUGCCAAACAGAAGGAAAAUCUACAGAGCCAACAUCUGGAUCGGAUCAAUGAUGGCAUAUCAACAACUAAGGGAAAAAUCUGCUACUAAAUAUUUAUCUGAAACUAGAGGAUGACGUUGCACUUGCAUAACUCCGUUAACGCAGAUCAAUGGUCAUGCUCUGUCUAGCUUUGUUAGAAGUUUGAAAACUCUACACGGACAGGCACUAUUUGCAAGAAGACGUGUUCCCUAUGCUCAUCUUUGUACUGAGCUGGAAAUGCUUUUAGCAGAUAGCUGUGCCUCCAGAAACAAAUCGCAUGAAGUGGCCCACAAUUCUCUGGCAAGUCCGGUGUCGUACGAAACUGAAGAAGAGUUGAUAGUCCGGCCCCUCCCACCAAAGAAAUACACACCAGAAAUUUCCUAUUUUUGCAAGACAGCGGCUAUUAGUAAGCACUGUUCCAACAUAUAAUAGCAGCCACAUAAGAUUGAUACCAUAGAUUAUCAGCAGAGAAGGGAAAAUCAAUUCUGGAAACAUACUGUCAUACCGUAGAAUCAACAUUAAUGGAUUUUACGUCCAAUGUUAGUGUGACCUCAGUUGAGGAUAAAACGAGAGAGACUCAUUCAAGAUGGUUCAGAUAAGUGAAGCACCAGUACAGGAAUGCUUUACACCAGCCUAUUUAGUGGGAAAAGAUCACUAUCACCCAUAAAUGCAGCUGUGGUUGCCUAUUGAGAUGAAACCCAGGUGAUUUCAUUGCAGUCCCAUCUAGCAUAUAGCAGAAAUUAAAGAUAAUGAUUGCAGUCAGAAAAACUCACAGGAGGGGCAAGGGCUGCAUCCAGAACUGAGUUGACCGCACCUUCAGGUGAAUCCAAAAGACCCAUUGCAGUUAAAAAUGCAAAAGCUGUGUAGGACAGGUAAGGGGGAACUUCUCGCAUGAUACUGGUUUUCACUACUCCAGGAUCCACAGCACUGGAAAUAAAAAAGAAACAGGAUAACAUCUCAAUUGUGCUGCCAGCAUGUAUUCAUACACAAAACUUUAGAGAAAGACAAUCUACAAAGCCUAAGUACAUUUUCUUGUUUAUAAUCAACUAGUAUAGUAUCUCUGAUAACAAAAACCAGGUUUUCAACUAAAAAGGGAUAGCUCAUAGAUUUGUGGAAAGUGGUAAGUGGAAAGUUCAAAUUCAACUACCAUACAAACUUAAGGGUGAGAUUACACUGUCCUACAAGAAUGCUUAAAUCCAGAGUGGCAGGAUUGUUGAUACAUACAGAAUGGAAACAUGACAGGAGCUUUCCAAGCGAAGGCGUCGAUGAAGUUCAUAUGAGAACAGCAGAAGGCAUACUGUAAACAAACAGGAAACUCUUACUAAAGUUUGUGAGAAGAUGUGACAUUUGCUUCUCAAAUAUUGCUGUAUCUUUUAUUCUAUCCUUUCCUUUUUGGUGCUAGGCUUCUCGAAUAAAACAUGAAACUUACAUUUUGAAUAACCAUAGAUCUGUGCACAUGGAUACUGUUUCAUCCUGAAGGAACUCUUCCCAAUAACACUUUCCUUGUCAAAUGUCGCACCACAUACUGAAGAAGAGGAGAACCGAGGAAAAGGAGAUUUUAAAUAAAUAAAUAAAAACUAUGACUCUAAACCUAGUAUAACAAUUGCACUAAAACAGAAACUGCACAGAGAAGUUGGACAGCAAGAAACUACAAGCAAACAAUACCAACUAUUUGACAUCAUAAAAGAGUUCUGUAACUUAGACAUUGAGUACAGCUAUAUUGCAUGUUCUAGUUUUAGCUUGCUAUCUCAGGCACUGUUAAAGUCCUAGAUGGGCACCAUAUUUAGUUCACUAAUUGAAUGAAAAAAUGACAUGCCAUAAGGGUCAGCAAGCCCGGGUUUCACAGAGGAACCUCCUUGCAGGCUGGCCACCGGCUGCAAUCAGUGUUCCACAGAUAAAUGGAAGUGUUUCUGACCACAAAGUGAAAAUAUCUUACCGCUUCGAUGUGUAAAGGACGUGACAUUGACUAUCCGGGAUGGAACAGGGCUGUUUCUGAGAAGUGGUAAUAAAUGCUUUGUCAAAAAGAAUGGUCCCAUGUAGUUCGUUGCCAUCAUCCUGGUGCAUAAAGAGGUGGAGAGAAGAAUCAACAGGAGAUCAGGCAACAAUGCAUUAUGAAAGACUGCAAUUAAUAAAUUCCAUUCCAAAAAGAGAAAAGCAAAACAGUGGGAGAUGCCACUUGCUACCGUGGCAACAAAUCUCCACAAGUAAACUACAAGUUGACAAGGUAUAUAGGAAAAUCAAAAUCACUAGAACAUUAGACUUUCAAUUGGGAAAGUGACGACACUAUUAUCGUUACUUAUUUAGAAAUUAGAACAUAUGCAUCUCAUUAGUUAAAUCUAAAACAACAGAAUAUAUAUUCUCCACUGUGACUGCUGUAGUGUUUAGAUUGCCAAAUAUUUGGAUCUUUGGAAAGAAUAUUGCAAAAAAAUUCCCAUGGCAAUAAGAUAAUUACUCAUCGAAGCCUUCAGCUGUAAUUCUGUAGGAUGUUGCCAACAUUCCAGCAUUAUUUAUCAGAAGCUGGACUGAGGCAUGCAUAUUUGAUUCCAACAGCCAUUGCUCAAGGGAGCAUCUGAAGUGUAAGAUUGACUCGAUAGAUGAUAUAUCAGCUUGAAAAGCUUUAAGAUGGGCAUCCUUAUUGUGUUUACAAAUCUCUGCCACUCUCUGUGACCCAAAAAAAAAAAAAGAAUCAUUGAGAGCAUCAUGUAGAGCAAAGAAGCUAAAACGGAUGCCGCACAACAAGUACCUCUGACAACCUGUGAGCAGACCGUCCAACUGCAGAGAAAGCAUAAAUUUCAGUUAAAUAAUUGUACCUGCAUGGAUCAAAACUCAUUCUUCUUGUAACAAAGAAAAGAUGCAUUUUGCAUUAACUCUAAGGACAACAAACAGUCAUUCGUACAUUAUUUGUCACAUUAAGCAAUUGACAAGCUUUUCUCUUUGCUUGAAUCACCAAGUAAAGACCAGAGAACAUUCAUAUAUCUACCCAUAACUCUUCCUAUGAGAGUGUUCAUCACAGACUGGUGGCAUUUAUGUAGACAGCCUAUUUUUUUUUCCUCCUAAUGUAGCUAUCAUCAGGAUGAUCCAGCACAAGCAAUCACAGAAAAUCCAGGCAUGGGGUUGAACUAAGUGUUGCUACAUCCAUAUCAAAGGAAUGAGGAGGAUAAACCACAGACUGCGACAUUACCAAGGACAACAACGAAACCUUCUUUUGAAAGAGCAUAAGCAGCCGCUGCACCCAAACCAGAUGUAGCCUGCAGGCAAAAGGCAGAGAAAGCUCUCAGUAGGAUAAUCUAAUUGAGGACAUUUGCUACUAGCAAAAGAAAUCCGUCUUACGCCGGUGAUAAUGCAGAGAGGUCUCAGAGGAACUUCUAUGUUGGCAUUUCGAGGGUAUGAAACAAUUCGACCAAAAAGACCACGGCUGAAGAAUUGCCAGUAUGAGGCCAGCAAAGAGAACGUCCAAAGUACUGCCAUUAUCCAGAAGUCUACUGUACAAAUGAAACAAAAAGCCUCGACCAACUCCUUUGACAUUAUUCUCAUCUUUGCCACCAUGGACUUCUUACCUGUGUUGGCAAAGUGAAAACAACAAAACAAAUUCAGGAUACUAAUAAAUCCAACAGAAAAGUAUAUGCGCACGGUAAAGUCCUAAAGUUUAUUGGAUUAGGUAGUGGAACUCGAAUUUAAAUCAAGUGAAUGUCACAAUUAAGUACUGGAGAGACCCAAUCUACGGAGAAAACACGCACCCUUACAUGACCAGUGCAGCAAAAUGAGUGCCUUGUUAUUUGACAGUCAGAGUUGAGACCUCAGUGUUCAGUCUACAGGAAAAGUUUUAGCAACCUCGAGAGAGGUAAGAACUAGGCAGAUCUCACUAUGCAACCAUAAAUCAACUAACUUCAGGUGUACUUUCAAACAAAUUCUUUGACCAAGCAUCUGAGGGAAAUCAACAAUACAGAGUUCAACAUUCUAGUUCGUAAAUACUUUGGCCUUUUCAUUGUCAUGUAUGAAUGACGGUUUCCCUAUUGUUUAGAAUGUACAGCUUUGAAGUGUCUUAAUGCCACCUUGUCUUCCCACCACAGCAAACACAGACCCAGGUAAAGGAAUCAAAUGUUAAAUCCAGUCUUAAUAAAUUUACACAUCACAACACACAACCCAGUGAGCUUACUUCAUCGGUUAGAGUCACCAUGCUCACCCAGAGUAACAAGCACACCAUCAAAAGUAAGAUUAACAGAGAUAGCAAAUGAUAUAGCUUGUUUCAAAAUGAAAUUCUGUUCAUUUCCAAGCUCCAGACUUUCCACAUCAAAGCUUGACGUCUACUCACCCUAAACAGACGCAGCUAUAAAAUUAUCAUCUACCAGCAGAACUCGUGAAAUUCCACACAAUUCAAACGGGCCUACACGCACGUCACCGACCUAGACACGUUCCCUAUUAAACAUUAAACAAUCACCACCCCAAAUCAUCUCCAAGCUCAACGUCCUCACCAUGCAACAGCUCCAGAGCUCCAAAAAGACCCAACAAGUUUUUCGCCAACCUUCACGUCAACUCAAGCUCCCCCGCUCACUUCCUCCCUGACAAUACACACCCCCCACGAAGCGCGCUCUAAGAAGCAUUACGUCAAACACAUUGGGGACAUCGAAACUCCGGGCAGAGUUCUCCCACGAACCCAACGCAAAUGGGCAUCCACGAAAACAGGAACUUGCAGAGAGGCGAACGCGGGCGCUCGUGCAGAUCACUGUAAAGCUAUUGCAACGAAACGUGAAGGGUUGCGCCGGAAACGAAAGGGCGACUCACGGGGAACGUGAAAGGGUCGAAGGAACGAAGGAAGGCGAGAGCAGAGACGGGUCGCCUCGACUCGACACGGUUCUCGUCGAAACCAGGAGAGUCUUGAGAUUGACUGGAGGAAAAAUCCGAGCUUUACAAAAAGUUAGAUGCAGGAUGAGACGAACAUCCGGUUCUUCAACCCGAGUAAAAGCGUUGACACUAAGGGCAAACUUUUCCUUGCAUAUUAGGGAGAAUUAAGUGGGAAAUUUUCGUUUAUCGAAUUCGCCAACAUGUUUUCCAAAAAAAAAAAAAAGGAAAAAAAGAAAUCACUAACGUAAUUUCAUUCACUAUCACCCCUUUUGAAAAAUCAAAUCCAUGCAUGGGACCGAUUAAAUUUCAUUCGUCAAUCAGUACUCUUUUGUAUGAGAACUUGAAGAAAGAAUGACUCGCAAAAUACAUAAAAAAAAAUGGAACAUCACAAGAUAUGCAAAAAUUACUGUAAAAGAAUCAUAGAUUACAUGUUCUAACAAAAAGGAAUCAUUUAUUGCAUUUGUGUGAUGUAAACUAUACUGGAAUUAUUUCUUGUAAAUCUUGAGAGUGGUAGUAAUUGUGUCAACAUUUGGAAUCCUAUUAGGGAUAAAUAUAUUGAAAAUAUUAAAAUUUGUCACGAAGUUACAAUUUAACCCUAAAAUUUGACCAAAAAAAAAAUUCCAAUCAAAUUCUAAAAUUUGUUACAAAGUGUAAUUGAAUUUUUAAAACUUUUAAAAAGUACAUUCAAGUUCUAAAUUUUAUUAACAUUUUUCGUUUGUCAAAUUUGAUGGAGUUUAGGAAAAUACUUGAUUAUAUUAACUUGUCAAGUUGGCUUGGGCCAAGUUUGGCAUACCUAUAGUCCGUCGGAUCCAUGUUAAGGUCUACUAGCUUUGACCCUCCCUAGCUUUUGGGCUGGAUUGGGUCGCUGCGCCCAGCCCUUGCAGGAUCUCUCUCUCUCUCUCUCUCAACUUUCCCUAUGUGUUUUUUGGUUACUUUAACAUUUUUAUUUGUCUUUUGAAUUAAUGAUCUCACGUGGCAUGGUUCAAAUUACUGGGGUGUCAGAACCAAAACCAAAACUAAAAUCUAACCGAAAUUUCAUGCAUUUUUUAUUUGAUUUGGUUUUGGUUAGGAUAAUAGAAAGAUAACGGUUAUUUGUUUUCGAUUUGGUGAAUCGAACUGAAAUCCUUAAUACAAAUAAAUGCACAACUUAAAAUCCCUCCUUUUUCUCAUCUCUUAUUCUAUUUGAUUCCAAUGAGAAGGUAAAAAUCAAAAAACCAAAAACUGAAAACUGAAUUGAAAAUAAUCCAAUCGGAUUUUUAGUUCAGUUUGUAUUUGAUUCAGAUCGCAACUUGGUUUGCUUUAAUUACUUAUCUUAUCAGUUCGGUUUGGUUCGGACUUUAGGACAUUCGAACUAAAUCGAAACGUUGACGCCCCAUUAGCCACAUAGAUGAAGUCAUGUCUAUAAUUCAACAACGUUAAUUAUGAUGGUUGACGACAGAGUCAGCAAGAUGCAAAAGAUAUAGAAAUACAUCAAAAGAAGGAAAAAAUAGUUAGAGGACCCAAUCGCAGGAACAUCAGUACUAUAUCGAGAACAAAAAAUUGCUAUGAACUAAAUCAUACAUUAAAAGUAGGAAACAAGGAGAACUAACACGACCGUUAAUAGCAGCAUUGACAUCUAUGUCCAUGGAGAAUUUUUCUUACGCAACUACCACAGGUGGAUCCCAGCUAAUUUGCUGUCUAUCUAAUCCCGGGUGAAAACGGUCGGGCCUUGGUUCGGAGCCGUCGAGGACACACGACCAUCCUCAACGCUCCAAGCUCGUCCUCCUCCGGCGCAGUGGCUCGGCCUCAUAUCCUCUAAGCUUCACGGCUUUGUAAGUCACGGCGCCAGCUAUGGCUCCGAGCGGAGGAGCCACCAUGUACAUCCACAAUCCUUUGUAGUUCCCUGCGGCCACGGCCGGGCCGAGAGUCCUCACGGGGUUCAGGGAACCUCCGGUCGGCAUCCUGCAUUUCCCGGGAACAUUGUUAAGGAACAUUAUGAAAGCUAAAAUUCUGUAACAACGCGUCCAUACUUGCACGCCCGAAGGUGAGUAGUUUCAGUACAAUGCUUACCCUGUCACAAGAACGCCAAGCAGCACCGUUGCUCCGAUUGCAAUACCUGCCAAAUCUCCUACCUAUCAUCAGAAAAAAGGAACAAAUGUAAGUGAAAUGGAUACAUGCUGUAUACAGAUGCCACGAGUACAGAUAGAGGAAGAGUCGAUAUGCAGCAUGGCGACGUACUGCACGAGUGUCGGUCACCACCGCGACGAUCACGAACGCGAGAAUGAAAGUGGCGAGAAACUCGAGAGCAAACGCCUGUCCGAUGUCCACCGAAGGCACCGUGACGCCGCCGUUGGCAAAGGGAUGGAAAACGCCCUUGAGGACGUAGGAAGCACACAUCGAGCCCGCAACCUGCGCCGCGAUGUAGCCAGGCACCUGGAUCCAUGGAAAGUGCCAGAUCACCGCGAGGGCGACUGUCACCGACGGGUUCAGGUGGGCUCCUGAAAUGUGACCGAUCGAGAAAACUAUGAUCAUCACGGCGAGCCCAGCGCAUGCCGCGUUCCCAAGCAACGUCUCUGCUCCGUUGUACUUUUGGUUCACAAUGGGCCCGCCCACCGCGCAAAGUACUAAGAAGAAGGUUCCAACGAACUCUGCUCCGACCUGCAUCGUUCAUGUAAAUCUAAAUAAGAAAAUCUAUCCUAUCUUUCUUUCUUGGUUUCACUCGCUAUGAAAAGGCAUAAGAAUUAUCAGUUUAUGCUGCAACAGCUAGCGAGCCUGUCUAAUCUUUACUGAUCUUUGAGGUCGAUUGGGCUUUACCUUCCGCAACGAAUCAUACUUAUCCGGCUGGAGACGCCGAACACCUUCCGUUGCACCGUCACUCGGCGCACACCACUUGCACUGUACCACGGACCCGUCCUCCGGCAACGAUGAGUCCACUUGCAACGUCACAGAUGCCGGUUGGCACAUCUUCUCUUGCCUGGACAGCUCGAUGGAGAUUAAGGGAGACCAGAGGUCGCGAAUAAAGGAUCAAGAGAUCGAUGAGAAGAGAGAUCAAGACGAGAGGGAGCCUUCAGUCUGUUGCCUCCGUCUAUGAUAGUUGAUUGCAGCGACCCCAAAAGCAUUUUAUAGGAGAGAAGACAACGGCUUUAACAUCGCCAACAUCAUCUUCUUGUUCACUAGUUCGGCUUGUUGACUCGCUCCAUAGGAUUCGGUCAUUCAUAGUAGUUCGGACUGUCUGCACCUUGACUAGAUCUAGGGUUACUCUAUACAAGUAAUGAUUUGACUCGGUUUGGCAUGCUCAGAAAAACUUGGAGGGCACGUUUCUAUUUCUGAAAUUUAGGUGUGCAAGUCUACAUUUGUGGACCAGAUAUUGAAUAUUUAAGACCGAUUCUAUAAAGAGAAGAUCCAUCAAAACGUAUUUUCUUUUUUUUGUUUGGGGGGGAAGAGUUAAGGGCUGCGUUUGUUUUGAUUUCUUUUUUCUGUUUUUAAACAAUUUUUUUUGUUUUUUUGUUCCUGGGAACAAAAAAGGAACAGAAACGCGUUUGUUUGCAUUUUUAUUCCAAAAUUAUUUUUUUGUUCCCAGAAACACAUCUGGAACAAAAACAAGAAACAAAAAAAAAAGUUGUUUCUUGUUUCUGGAACAAAAUUUAGGAACACUUUCUUCUUCUCUCUUUUUUCUUCUUCUUUUCUUCUUCUUUUUUCUUUCUUUUUUCUUUGGCCGGUCGCCGGCCUCAACAAUUGAACCUUCUCAAACUGUUUCUUCUUAAGAACCAAAAAUAUUUGUGCCAAAAUAACAGAUGCCAAGAAGAACAAAAGGCCUUGGACACGGAAUGGAUCUUGAAGUACUAUUUCCGCAUCUCCUUGACCAAAUCCACCCACAUUAGGAUUACUCGUUAAUGGCUGAUCAAGUUUGAUAGAUUCGCCUUCGGAAACAAGAAGUUCUGGCCCUGGUGGAAUAAUAUCAACCACUUGACGUUCAUCUGACGCAUCCGAUAUGGUUAUUUCGUACCCCCCUUUUUCUUUUCGUAUGAUUUUACUUACUACACCAGCCGCUGUAGCAUUAUAAACUGUAUUGUUACUCUUGCUCCCAUCGGGAUAAAUCUGACCCAUUCCUCUGUUCCCGCCUACAUAUAUGGGAUAUUUUAAGAAGUGAACAUCUUUAUUAGUAGCGGGGUCCGGGGAAAGAAUAGGAAAGGUGACUUCACUAUAUUUCUGACCAGAAACAGGACCUAUCACAAGAAUAUUUUUUUUAUUGGGGCGAUAGCUCUGAAAAGACAGAUUGCCUAUCUUUUCUUUCAUCUCGGGCGAAAUACGAUCGGGAGGUGCUAAUUCAAAUCCCUCAGGUAAAAUAAGAACAGCCCCCACAUUCAAACCUCCCAUUUUACCAUUAGCAAGAACUUGUUUAACUUGCAUAUCAUAAGGAAUUCGAACAACUGCUUCAAAUACAGUAUCAGGAAGUACCGCUUGCGGAACCUCAAUAUCCACGGGCUUAUUAGCUAAAUGGCAAUUGGCACAUACAAUACGUCCGGUCGCUUCUCGUGGAUUUUCAUAACCCUGUUGUGCAAAAAUGGGAUAUGCAUUUGAAAUGGAUGUCCGAGCUAUGAUAUAUAUCAUCAGCGAUACGGAAAUAGAUCGAAUAAUCUCUUUCUUUAUCCAAGAAAAGGUGUUUUUAGUUUGCAUGGUCCAAUCAUUGAUCCCGAAAAUUUCUACAAUAAAAUUAGGUAGGUCGCUUGUAUAGUUCCCUAUCCACAAUUCUGCUAUUUACUUUAUUGAAAUCAUUUUACUGGAAUAUAAGGAGUAGGAGAAAUCCCUGUAGGGUAGAAAGAGUAAGUACGUCUUAAAAUGGAAAUGCUUUGCUUAUGUACCUUAUGUUACAAAGUAACAAAUAUUCUAGUUAGAUCAGUCAUUCAUUGAAUGAUAAAUCACUACAAGUGAUGGAGAUAUACGAUUUAAAUAGCGGAAGAUCCAAUAUUUAAAAAUUGUAUCCAGAAUGACUGGAAAAGUAGAAACAAGACCCGAUAUAAUUUGAUCGUUGUGAGCAAAUCCAAAAUCUUUGUAGACAUAGCCAAUCAUUAGUUCCCAACCAUGGGGCGAAUGGAAUCCGAUACAUAAAUCAGUUAAUAAAAGAAUAGAAAAAGCUUUUAUUGUGUCACUUAAGUUAUAUAGGAAUUCUUGAACCCAAGAGUUAAGAAUAGCAAGUUCUUCAUUACCCAGAAUAGAAUAACCACUUAAAAUAAUGAAAGAGGUUAUAUUUGUCGAUAAGUGAAAAAUCAUAUGGAUAUGAUCCUCAUUGUGCAUCUUGAUCAAUUGGAUCGUUUCUUUGUGGAUUCCUAUACGAAGUGUUUGUAGAUGUGUUUCCGGGUAUUCUUUUAUCAUUUCGUCCAAGAGUAAGAGUUCUUCCAAUUCGAUGAAUUUUUCUAGAAUACUCUUUUCUUGAAUAUCAGUCAAAAAAGUUUCGGAUUGCCUAGUAUUCCACCAAUUAGUAAUCCAAAAUUCAAGACUUUUAUUAAAUGAGAGAGAGAUCCACCAGGGCAAAAAUACUAUAGAUGUAAGAUAUAGAAGAGGAAGAAAUGCUUUCUUUUUUACCAUUUUUUCAUCUUUGAAUUGUUAAUGAAUCCACCUCAUUUGUUGAAUCUAUGUGAUCUACUAUUUCUAUUAACCCUAAGUUCUAUUACAGGGCAUCGGGCCUCGGCCAUGGCCGGCGACCGGCAGUCGAGGGCCGGUGAGGCCGAGCGUCGCCGGCCCUUGGUGAGGCCGACCUCGCGCCGAGCUAGGCGAGCUCGGCCUCGCCGGGCCACUGCCAGGUCGGCAUCGCCUGGCAGUGGCCCGGCGACGCCGAGCCUCGCCAGCCACUGAUUGUCACUUGCUUUUAGUCAUGCAUUCAAAACUGUAAGAUUCAUGCACUAUAAGAUAACCAGACAAGCGAAAAAAUGAUGUGCAUUUCAGUUGAGGUGGCAAGACCAAUUAGAUUGAAUUCAAACCAAAUAAAGCUUGACGCAUAAAAGAGAAAUGUUGUGCAUUGAGCGAAUAUAUGACAAAAUAAGUGCAAAGAGAGUCAUUGAUGUUCUAGCACUUUGGCCAAUUGAGUUCUUAAAAUUUUACUUUGCUUAAUUGAAUCCUUAGCAUUUUCAAUUUUAAUCAAUUGAGUCCCUCAAGCUUGAUCCUCGGAAAUAGCCACAUGGCUAUGAUUUUCCAAGUUGAUAAGAAGAUGCUCGACAAUAAAACCAGGUGAGCCUCUCAAGGGCUUCAUUGGCAUAAUCAUCAGUAUCACUUCGAUUUUUGGGUAUACGUGCUACACCGCACAGAGGUCUAUCAUUUCUUGGAUAUACUUCAUACCUCCCGUAGUGCUACCCGAAACGGUUUUCAUACCUGCAAAAAGUUCAUUGUGAGCAACUUACUUUCUUCACCUAUCAGGUAUCAAUAUUUCAUUCAGUAAUGAGCUUUGAGAACAAAAACAUACCGAGGUUAAGGCUUGCUGCAUUGAAUUUAAUUUCGCUUUGGGACCCAACCGAUGCUAGAACGCCACCCGUCUUCAAAAGAGACAUGUAAGGAUCAAAUGGGUGAUCAGCAGAUACCGUGUCAAUUAUAAAGUCCAGGGACUUAGCCAUGGCUUGCAUGUUACGAUUCAUCAGAUCACGGCAGCACUUGACAUCCAUGGAUCUAAAGUAUUAAUAAUUCAAAAUCUUCCCGUUUACCUUCAUAUGUUCUUGGUCAGAUGAGAUAACGAAAUGGUCAGCACCAAGCAAGCUCAGUGCUUCCUCCUUUUUAGAAAUGCUUGUACUGAACACGGCAACUUUCAGUCCAAAAGCCUUCCCAAGCUUAAUUGCCAUCUGACCGAGCCCACCAAGUCCAAUUACGUCGAAAGACUUACCCGGUUGGUUCAUCUUGUGACGCACCAUUUGAAUGUAUACUGUGAUUCCAUCACAGGGCAAUGGUGCUGCUAAAGCCAACGGGUAGUUUUCUGGAAUCCUAAGGCAAUACCUGUCAAUGAAGCACCACAAUUAAGUUUCCAAAUCAUGUAAUUUUUCUAUUCCCCUCGAUCAUGUCUCUAAGGGACACGAUAUUCCUGUGACUGUUGGAUACAAGAAUCCGUGAAAGCAUAUACAUUUCAUUACCCAUUUGAUCUAACACUUACUAUCUAACUCUUGGGAACAAUCUAAAAAAAGGGAGGAAGCGGAGACAAAAGGCAAGGAUUGAGCAAUUUCCAUCUCUCUCUCUCUCUCUCUCUCUCUCUCUUUUAAUUAAGGGUUAAUAUCCUAAAAAAUCCCAAAUUGGUACACAUGUAACAAAUUUACCUUGACAGACUAUAAAAAACUCUAAACUUAUAUAUUUAUGACAAAUUUACCCCAAACUAAUUUAUUUGACCGCAAAAAAUCUCAAAAUGGUAAAUUUGUAACAAAUAUACCCUUCACUAAAUUGGAUUAAUACCACAAAAAGAUCACAAAAAUUGUAAACCGUGACAAACGGAGCAUGAAAUCUCAAAUUGGUAUUACUAAUCAACUGUCACGUGCCAUUUAACUUAAUAAUUUGACAGUAAAAUUUAAUGAAAACUAAUAGAGGGUAAAUUUGUCACAAGUGUACUAGUUUAGAGUAUAUUUGUCAAAAGUAUACCAGUUUGGAGUUUUUAGUGGUCAAAAAACUAGUUUAGAGUAAAUUUAUCAUAGGUGUACCAGUUUUGAGUUUUUUAGGGUAUUAACCCUUUAAUUAAUUUAGUUUUAAAUUUAAUGUUAUUAAUGUUUCAUGAAAAUUCAUAUGUUAGAUUUAUUGGCUCACAUGUCAUUGUCACUUGAUGUGUAUGAUAUAUAGAAUAGUCCAAGAGUUUUGACUUUAGAUGCUUGGGAACUCGCGAAUGGUCAUACAUUGUCGGUUACACAUUCAAUAUGAUGUAUUAGCUAAUCAUAGUCCUCUAACGGUUUAUAUUUGCUUAAUAUAUUUCAAGAAUAUUCAUUUGUUAGACUUGUCCGCUCACACGCCACUGUCACUCGAUGUAUAUGAUAUGCAGAAUAGUCUAAGAGCUUUGACUUUAGACACUUGGGAGUGUCUAUGCUUGUUUUAUGUCUGUUAUGCUUGCAAUGCUUCUGGUUUUGAGUGGACAGUACAAAUAUUUAAGUCCAUGUCAAUUUGAACAAUUUUCUUUAUUAUAGAGCAACCGUCUUUAAUCUAUUGUGUUCUUGACCACAAAAAACCAAAUAACAAAUAAGUAUUAAUUAUUGUAGGGUCCAACAACAAUCUUUAAUCUAUUGUGUUCUUGACCACAAAAAACCAAUUAACAAAUAAGUAUAAAUUAUUGUAGGGUCCAACAGCAAUCUUUAAUCUAUUGUAUUCUUGACAACAAAAAACUAAAUAAUAAAUAAGUAUACAUUAUUAUAUGGCCCACUCCUUUAAAAAUUUGUUGCUCACAACAACUUAUUUAUUCUCAUAAUAACCCAAAGUUAUGCUAGCAAAGCUCUUUUGAGUAAGUGUAUUGAAAGUUUUAAAAACUUGUCACUAAAGUGCAUUAAGUCCUGAAACUUUCAAAAAAUACAAUUUAAUCCUAAAAUUUGUCACGAAAUGCAAUUGAGUCUUAAAAUUUUCAAAAAGUAAAAUCAAUUAUAAAGAUUUAUCAAUAUUAUAAGGGACAAAACCAAAAGCUGCAUGCAAUAAAUCAGACAAAAUUCAUUAAUUUAUGACCAUCAAGCAAGCGUCAGACAUUAGCAAAUGAAUGUAUUAGCAAUCGAAAAUACAUCGAAAACAAAAAGUUAAAAGCUCAUAUCUACCUUUCAUUCUUAUGCUUUGUAAGCCCCUCUGACCUUAGUGACCGCAAGGAUUUUACUGUGGACUCAAUGAGAUCCAUCUCAAGCUCCACCCUUUCAUGUGUCCAGCACUGAAGCAAAAGGAAAAUCGCAAUAAUGCGAUGAGGAUGAAACUAACCCAUUGAAUUUCUGAGUAAUCCAUCAAGUACAAGUUACCCAUCAUUCGGCCACUAAGCUCCUCCACUAUGGCCCUCAAUUGCUGGAUGCUUACUACGAGCGCUUCAUCCCUUCGUAUGAAGUCAACAUUUCUUUGAUUCACACUUUCUUUGCAUGACAUAUUUUAAACCUACAAGUAAACGUUAGUCACAAAAAUCCUCACCAAUUGCUCCCUCACGUGUUUCUCUCAAUGUGUUUGUCACUCCCCUCGUGUUUAACUCAAAUUUAGGCUUUUUCCCUCUCGUAUUCUCUUUUCACAAGUUCUUUAUUGGACUCAAAAUCAGUCUCUCAGCCCCCUCACGACAAUCAAUCAAAAUAAUCAAACAAGAUUAGAUUACUAUUAAUUUUGUUUCAGCAAGUAACAAUUUCAAACCAACAAGUAUAACUUUCGAAAUUCUAAUUGAAACGCAAAUCACUACUGAUUUUGUUUCAAUUCGGUCCACAGUCGCCUUCUUGAUUUUUUUUUGUUCAGCUUUUUUUUUCUGCUGAAUCUUUUUUUUUUCUCUAGCGCACUUUUUUUUUGUGUGCGUUUUCUUUCUCUUCUUUUUUUUUUUUUACGAACUUUCUUUGUUUUUUUUUCUUUCUUUUUUGACAAACUCAGAUACAAUUUAAGAUGAUAGGAAAAAAAAUAUUAAAACUAACAGCAAACAAUUACGUAUGGAAGCACAAAAGUAAUCAGAUCCCUAAAUUGGCUAGAACCGAAACCCUAACUCAAUAAAUCUCAAAUUGCUGAAUAUAAACAGAAAAUUAAAGAUAAAUAGACAUUGUAGAAGUAAGCUCUGAUACCAAAUGAUGUCAAUCGUUGUGGAAAAAUCAUUCUACGAAGGCCUGGAUGGUGCGAAUUGCAAACCUCGACCUCCAAUCAAACCUGUGAUUGAUAACCUCGAUAUGAACGUGAUCAAACCUACGAUUGAGAACCUCGGUAUGAACGUGACCUAUUGACAAACGCAUGUCAACCAACCAAACCCACGAGCGAAAGAAUAAGGUUAAGUUCUCAAAAAAUAGUAGAAAAGAAUCUCUCAACUUUUUUCAUCCAUAUAUAUAUAUAUAUAUAUAUAUAUAUAUAUAUAUUGACUUGGUCAAAUAUUUGAUGAUCAGAUAAUCAAAUUGUGCAAAGAUUUCUAAGAUUCUUCAAGAUUUAAUCCAAAGCCAUCUCUACGCCGAAGAUCAUGAACCAUGACGCUAACAGCUUACUUGAAUUGCUUGGCUCGUGCUCGAGUAAUUGAACCAGUAGGAAUAGACAAUGGGUCUCUAGCACCACCUCAUCGAUAUGGCUUGAUGUCCACAUCAUAAUGCAUGCGAAGGAACAAGCCGAUUGCCACUUGAUGUUAGUCAUUCAUGCAAAACUGUAAGAUUCAUACGCUAUAAUAUAGCCAAACAAGCAACCAAAAAAAAAAAAUAAAAAAUAAAAAACUAAAAAAAUGAUCUGCGUUGCACUUGAGGUGGCAAGGGCAAUUAGAUUGUAUUGAAACUAAAUGAAGUCCGUUGCAUUAAAAAGACAAUCAAAUGAUGCAUUGAUCAAACCUUCUCUUCCUUCUUCUUUUUCCUCUCCAGGUCUUCCACGCCUUCCGACUUGUUAUCCGGUUGAGACUGCACGACCCACAUCGACUCAUCAAUCUGAUCAUUACAAUCAUAGACUUGCCAUUUCCACAGCUAACCCAAUAACUCAAGCUACAAUCAGACGAGCUUCCACCCAAGAAAACAUACCAUUUCGAUGGUUGGUAAGCGUGAGACUGCAACCAAAGUUCGAUUCCGACAAGAGAAAGCACCGGGACAGAUGGUUGAGCUCCGUUUAGAAGUAGACCCAACAGCCGCCGGCGAACAAGGGUGGCGACCGUGACUUCAAAGAGACGACUUGACGGCGACCGAGCUCGGCGGAGGCGAGGGCGGCGGGACUUGUCAGCAGGGAUUUUUCUGACAGUGUCAGACUGGCACGACUCUGACGUUUUUUUAAUUAACUAAAGAAAGAAAUUCGUAAUACGACGUGGGCAGCCCGCAGGAGGGCGAAAUAAGAGUUUCCUGUUCUUAUUUUAUUUUAUUUUUAGCCUUUUCUGCUUAUUAGCAAAUAAAAUUUAUUAAUUUGACACGAACAUAUAGUGGUGUAUUUCCUACUAGUAAUAUAAAUUUAUAGAUUUUAAGGGAAGACUUGGAUCGUAAUUGUCAUUGGAGAGGAAGUGAAUGAUGAUAUAACAUGAGUUAAUAGACGUAAGUGAAAAAUGUCACAAAAGAAAUCGUGUUCCGAUAUUAAUUUUGUCAAUAUAUUGAAAAGGCAACAGGUUUCGUAUUCUUCUGGACAGAAAUGAAAGGUCAAAGGGAAACGAGAAGGACUGAGCAAAUAAAUGACAAAAUAUGAGCAAUGGAAGUCAUUGAUCGUUUGCCGUUUGACUGAUUGGAUUCUAAAUAUUUUAUUUUCAAUUGGGGUCUAAAUAUUUAUUUGGUCCAAUUGACUUCUAAACAUUUCCAAUUUUAGUCAAUCACGUCCCUCGAAUAUUAUUGUCGGAAAGAGCCACAUGGCUGUGAUUUUCCAAGUGGCCAAGGAGAUGCUUGAGGAGAAAACCUGUAGGAGAGGCGAAGCCAUUCAAGCAGAACUCUCAAGAAGCCAAUUUUUCAGACAGUUUCUCAAUCAUCACAUAGAAAAGUACCAGGAUUUCAUUACCCAUUUCACUUAUUUCUGCUAUAAAACUUACGGGUAUCGAAGUAUAUCAGGCAUAGUUUAUUUGUACUCCAGCAGAGAUAGUAAAAAGGCACAGAUGAUGCUCUCCUCUAGCUGAAACUCCCACUUUUCCUCUCUGUGUGAUCAGCUUUGCCAGCAACAAUUUCCAACUUCCCAAAUUGAUGUUCAAAUUUAAUCAAAUAGACUCAGAGAAGAAAACACACGAGAAUUGUUGCUAUAACUCUUGUUACUUUAUUCAUCAAAACAUCCAAAUCACUUAGCAAGAAAAUAGCUAUAGAACAACAACAACAACAAAGACCCACUGACAUACCCCACCGACCAAACAUGUGGAGAAACUAACUCCUACAAAAAAGCCACUUCCUAUUGACUAGGACUCCACUAUUACAUUAUUGAAGACACGUAAAAACUGUAAGUUAACUACUUCAACAAUUGAUGGUGUCACUUCAAGGAGUUCUCAAUGUCGAUCACGAAUCGAUACUUAACAUCUCUCUUGAUGAGCCUCUCCAGAGCUUCAUUGGCAUAAUCAAUCGGUAUCACUUCAAUAUUUGGGUAUAUCUUCUGCGCUGCACAUAGGUCUAUCAUUUCUUGGGUAUCCUUUGUUCCUCCCGUUAGGCUACCUGAAACAGUUCUCAUAUCUGCCAAACGUUCACCACGAGCAACUUAGUUCACCUAUCAGGUAUGAAAUUUCAUUUAGUAAUCAGAUUUGAGAACAAAAACAUACGGUGGUUAAGGCUGGCUGGACUAAAUUUAACUUCGCUCGAGCCGACCAAUGCUAGAAUGCCACCCGUCUUCAAAACAGACAUGUAAGGAUCAAAUGGGUGAUUGCCGGCUGCCGUGUCGAUUAUAAAGUCUAGGGACUUAGCAAUGGCCUGCGUGCAUUGGAUUUAUCAGAUCACAACAGAAUUUGACCACCAUGGAUCUCAAUGUGGAUAAUUCUAGUUUUUCCUUUUUUUACCUUCAUCUGCUCUACGUCAGAUGAGAUAACGAAAUGGUCAGCCCCAAGCAGGCUCAGUGCUUCCUCCUUUUUAGAAAUGCUUGUACUGAACACUGUGACUUUUAGUCCAAAAGCCUUCCCAAACUUAACUGCCAUAUGACCGAGCCCGCCAAGUCCAAUUACACCUAGAGACUUACCGGGUUGGUUCAUCUUGUGACGUAUCAUUGGAGUGUACACCGUGAUUCCAGCACAGAGCAGUGGCGCUGCUAGAUCCAUCGGGUAGUUUUCUGGAAUCCUGAAGCAAUACCUGUCAAUGAAGCACCACAAUUAAGUUUCCAAAUAACACCAAGAGAGGAAGUGAUUUCCCAAUAGAAUCAGCAUCCUGUCUUUUUUGUCUAAAAGGAAUCAAAUCACAGAGCCAGAAAUCCUAUCUUCCGCAUGCUUGGGAAUGUUACUUGCUUAGACCACAAUUCAGCAUCAUGUUGUUUCCGUGAUCCUUGUUCUGACCACAAAUUGCUCAAGACAAACAUUUCUUGCUGUAGCAACGAAAAUAACUCGAUUAAAAUUAAGAAAAGACACUUGCUCUAAGAAAGGAAACUGGUGGCAUAUCACAUAUGCUUGACUGAACACGUAAUUUCUCUAUUUCUUUCAAUCAAUUCCUCCGAAGGACUCAAGAUUCCUGUGGCUCUAUCAGAUACAAGAAUUAGUGAAAGCACAUACAUUUAGCUACCCAUUUGAUCUUAUACUUAUGAUCUAACUUUAACAAUCUAAGGACAGCUUAUUCCAUUCUUGACAAUGGUUAUUGAAAAGAAAGAAUUUCUUUUUGCAUUUAAUAAAGCCAAUUCUCCAUUGAAUGGUCUGAAUGGUAAUUGGAUACAGAGGACUUAAAGACCCUCCAGAGCCGUUAUAGAAAGUAUCUUUAUCCUUUUCCACAAGAUGCAUUAUGCUACUUCUGGUCACAAUCAGAAUACGAAGAAAAUUAGCAGAGAAGAAGACAUGACAUGAAAUCUUUUUUUGGCCACCAUGAUUUGAAAUUCUUUCACAGUGCAAAAUGCUGCCUAAUAACAUUGUGUUAAUAAGCAAUUACCUUUCAUGGACGACAAUGUGACUAGAAUAUCCUCCCUUUGUCACUGUACCGUCCGUAUCGAUUCGGUCAAAAGUCAAAACCAUCUUUUCACAAUGGACUUCUAGCCCGUCAUUGCAAUACUCGCACUCUCUGCAUGAAUUGACAUAAGUUCCCACACCCACAUGAUCGCCAACUUUGAAGCGUUGGACACUGGAGCCAACCUGUUUCACAAUUCCAACUAUCUCGUGCCUGAAUCAAUCAAAAAAGUCAUUCGCAAAUUUUGUUCAGAGAAUUAUUAGGAUGGUGCUAAGAAAAAAGAUUAACAUUCGAAUCACGCUGCAUCCUACCCUGGCACCAGAGGAUACUUGGAGGUUCCCGACAUAUUCCUAGUCCAAGCCACAUCUGCAUAGCACACUCCGCAGUGCGUGAUCCUAAUCGAGACGUCAUCGCUUCCCACGGUCCUAAAGAGAGAAUUCCCAAACAGAUGAGCAUCUAAUCAAGCAACUAAUCAGACUCAGUUACCUUUUGUUCUCAUUUUUCAGAUCAAUAAACUAAGCGUGACUUACAAUAAUCAUACAUUCAACCCAAAAAAAAAUUUAAGAAAAGAGAAAUGAAAAGGAACCAAAUCCAUGACUAUAGGCAUUUGUCUGAAUAGUACAUACAACCUCAAAUGCUCACAAAGGCAGCACCCGAAUCCUAAUGUCUGCCAUGAAGUUCUAAGCAACUCAUUCUGGGACAUGACAUAUCAUGCGUACAAACAAUUCUCUACCCAGAAAUUAGUGCAUACACAACAAAAUUUAUAAAAGAAAAACGAAAUGGUUUGGUCAAUGUGGAAAUUUAAAUAUAUGACAAGCAUCAAAAACUGUUUUGCAUUACAGGUGAGAGGAUAAGACCUGAGAACACUGUAUUGAGACUUAUUCAGACAAAUACUUCAAUAGAAAUUGAAAGUAUAAGGAGCAGAUGAAUUAAAUAAAGAACAGUGGUAACAGUAAUACCUGCGGCUGAAUUUGUAGGGGGAGAGACGUCCAGAAGGAUCUCUGGCAGCCCAACCAAGACAAUCUUCCUUCGCACCCUCUGAACUCAUCGUUCCUCACCGACCUCAACUGAAAUCGACCCACAAAAAAAUUGCUGUGUUAAUCUCUCAAUAAGCUGAAUUAUGGAAGAAGAAGAAGAAUUAUUUUCGUGAAAGAGAAAUGAAGAGAAAAUCAAACCGGAAAACAGAAGUUCAAAUGGUCAAAAGGCCAAAUGUCACGAAGACUUGGCAAUUCCGUUUCCGUGCAGACAAGAUUUUGCGGUCUGACUUUUGAGCAAAGAGCGAGAUUAGCAGAGAGCGAGGUUGAGCGCUCAAAAACCGUCACCUCUUUAUAGAUGCCAUAGCGUCGCCUGUUCUUGAUUUUUUUUUUCGUUUUAUCUUGUGGAAAAGAAUUAGUGCCAAACGUAAGCCAUUACCCUUCACUAGCCAAUGAAGUAUGCAGUGACGUCUUCUGGAGUACGGUUCUUGGUAUUUUUAUUUAUCCUCCCAAUAACAAUUGCAUUAUUAAUUUAUUCACACAUUAAAUAUGUCAAUAGGCAACAUGUUGACGCAUAAAAUAUGUCAUGAUCCUCUAGUGGUAUGUAUUCGAUUCAUCUAUUUUAAGAAUAUUCACCUUCAUCUAUUUUAAGAAUAUUCACCUUCUUCAAAGAUAGUGUUAGUAUAUGCGGAAACAUGUGUUUGAUAUGUAUGCAAGCAAAAGAACUAAGGGACAAUGUGAGCAAGAAAUAGUGGGACAAAGUAAUAAUAGGAAUGUGUAAAAGAGAAUGAGGCUGAGGCGGUGAAGGAGAGAAACUUGAAUGGAAGUCAACAAUAGUGGCUGAAGAAGAAACUAGUAUGUGGACAGCAAGAGUACUUGGAGAAGAAGAAAAUGAGUUGUCAGCUGUACUAUGGCCUAUGGCGGUGAAAAAGUCAAAAAUGUCAUGCUUGAAGUCGGUUGUAAUUGCCUAUAAAUAGGCUUGUCGUUCAUUUAUUUGGUGUGUGUGAGGUGAACCCUUCACCUUGUGUGGGGGUGAACCCUCCACUGUGAGAGGUCUUAAACCUCCGCUAGGACCAUAUGGAGAGUGACUAUUCAACACCUCCAUCAAAUUAUUUUGUCUUCUUCAAUAAGUUCUUGACAGCUGGAGUUUGAUGAAGAAACUUUGCUUCAUGCUUUCCGCUACUUGCUAUUUCCGAUGCACGUAGACUUCUCUAGCCUAUUCUAGGAUUUCUUCUUCAACUUGGGGUUUGCUUGCUUGUAUUCCCAUGUGAAUCUUCUAGGUUCAGCUAGCAACCACCAUUCUCAACAAUUCUAGACAAUCUUCAACAUGGAUGUUGCUACCAACGUUCUCGCCUUCAUGAUUAAGUUAAUAGUUUCUAAACAGUUUUAGAGAAAAUGGAUCAUAAUUUUCAACAUAUAGUAUUUUGGAGAGAAAAGUAUUUCAGCAGAAUUGUUCAAGGAUUUACAGAUCACUACAAUAUCACCGGAAGCAAAUAAUUAUCCAUCAUUGACAUGAACGAUAUAGCAAAAAUUCUUUUACUUGUUUACCUUAAGUUUAGCAAGAUCUGCUUAAACGACAACCUUGAGUAUCUUCAAUUCCCUUUCUCUUGCCUUCAAAAAGAUAUUGAAAUGCAACGCAGAAUCAAGACAGAUUGUCAUUAACAAAGCUGUAAAAGCCUACUCAAUCUGGCAAAAUUGGGGACAGUGUUUUCCAGCGAUCUUGACUACCUCGGUAGCUGCUGUGCAAAUGGAUAGGAAUGCAUGCAGAGGGACAAGCUGAUUGUUACCUACUUUUAGUCAUUCAUUUGAAACUGUAAGAUUCAUGUGCCAUAAGAUAGCCAAACAAGCGGGCAAAAAAUGAUGUGCCUUGCACCGAAGGUGGCAAGAGCAAUUAGAUUAAAUUCAAACCAAAAAAAGCUUGAUGCAUAAAAUGAAAAGUCAUCCAUUGAGCAAAAAAGGGUGCGUUUGGUAAGGUUUCUGUUUAAAAAUUGUUUCUGGGAACAUAAAUAAAAAAAAGUGUUUCUGUUCCAAGGAACAAGUUUUGAACAAAAAAACGCAUUUGGUAAAUCUGUUCUAGAAAUAUAAAAAAAAUAGAAACACGUUUGGUAAGUUUGUAUAUUUUUUUUUAUUUCUUUUAAUUUUUAAUAUUUUUAUUUUUAUUUUCUAUUUUCUUUCUUAUUUUUCUUAUUUAUUUUUCCUUUUUUUCUUAUUUAUUUUUCCUUUUUCCUUUUUUCUUCUUUUGGCCGGUCGCCGGCCUCGGCCAUGGCCGACGACCAGCCGACAAGGGCCGGCGGCCUCACCCAGCCAUGGCGAGGCUCGCCGGCCGCUGGGCGAGCUCGGCCUCGCUAGAUCUGGGCGAGAUCGAGCUCGCCCAGCCAGGCGCGAGGUCGGCCUCGCCGCGCUGUGCCGACGGUGACCCAGAGCCACACCAUCGUCUCCCUCCACCGCAUCGGUGACCGCGCUCGACGCCUCCUCGCCGCCACCGGAUCGGCGACCACCCCUCCGCCUCACGCCCGAUUGACGCAUCUGCAGGUCUCGAGCCUUCGUUCACCACCGCCACAUCAGAUCUCACCACGCCGUGACCCACGGCUUCGAGAUCCGCUCGAUCGUCGACCCCGCGCCGGCCCACGACUCGACCGGCCGUCCUCGCCGCUCCGCUCCUAGACGUCCGCCGCUCGAGACCCCACGGCCGAGCCCCGCACCGCAGCCGCCGCCGCCGCCCAGCGACCCGCGACCCAGCUCCGUCACCCGCUCACAGGUGGAGAUGCUCGCAGCGGCUGUCGGCGCCGGAGAGGACGACGGUGGAGAAGCCGGAUGGUCUCGAGACAGAGGCGGCUGUCGGCGCCGGAGAAGACGACGGUGGAGACACUUGCAGAAGGAGAGGCUCGCAGGAGAACACGAUUUUGUUUCUUUUUUGUUCUUCAAAUAUGUUUCAGAAAUAAGAAAUAAGAAAUUCUUGUUUCUUAUUUUUGUUUGUUUCUUAUUUUUGUUCCCUUUUUGUUUCUAGGAACAAAAAAACAAAAAAGAAACAGAAAUGCACCCAAACGCGUUUCUGUUCCUUUUUUGUUCCCAGAAACAAAAAAAUAGAAAUUUUUGUUCGUGGGAACAGAAACACGGUGCAAACAAACGCGCCCUAAAUGACAAAGUAAGUGCAAUGAGAGUCAUUGAUGUUCACGCCAAACGUAUGCCAUGACCAUUCCUUAGCCGAGAGAAUGUAAGCAGCGACAUCUUCUAGAUAGUGGUUACUGGCAAUUUUUUUUUUUUUUAUCCCCGGCCUGAUCAAAUUAUCCGAGUUAUAAACUCAGAAAGAAGUUAAUGAGCAAUCUACCGCUAGGACCUAUGAAGGGUCAUAUGUUGUUGGUUACACAUCGUGUUGGAAUAUAAUAUACGGAAAUGAAAAGAUCUUGCAAUUUACGUCAACGUGCAAACUCCAGAAAAAUAAAUGAGAAAUAAUAAGAACACCAUAACUUUACGUGAUUCGGUCCGAGUAUUAGUACCUACAUUCACGGGAGAGUUAGCAACAAAUAACCCACUAUAAUAAAAAAAUCAGAGUUUACAAUCGCUCACAUGCUUGAGUAUUUUCUACACCUAGAUUUCAACUCAAGAGUUUAUAAAUAAACAACUCAUUUUAACAUAAAUUCACGACAUAAAAUUACCACUCGUUCAAAAACAAAAUGCUCUACGUACGCCAAAAACAAGAAUUCCAGCAUUUAUCUUUUGGUUCGCGUAGAUACGGAUUUGUGUUCUUCUUUGCUUGAUCGUGCGGCGCUAUUCUAGACGUUCCUUUUGGCUCUUUCUUCUUCGUAGGGCUUCAGUAACUUUUUCUAUAAAAAAAAAAAAGGACGUUCUAUUUUAUAUAUGUGCCUAGAGUCAACAACUUUGACUCUGGGCCCACCAUGUGCUUCUUUCUUCAGUGGGAAGUGGGACGCUGCAGGUAAGGCGAAGAAACCUUCCUUUUAUUCAUUUUUCUUCAUAUUUCCUUUAUUUUAUGGGAUAUGUUUGGCAGAAGUCCUAAAACUUGUCCAGAAAGUGCAAUUGAGUCCUAAAACUUACAAAAAGUUCAAUCAAGUCCUAAAACUUGUCAAAUUGGUUCAAUUGAGUCCUAAAGUUAACACCGUUAAGAAAAUUAACAGAAAUUGCUGACGUGGCGCUGACGUCAUAUUUUAAAUGAUCUUUUUUAUUUUUCAAAUAGCUUUUUUAAAUUAUUUUUAUUCAAAAUCUUUAAAAAUUAGAUUAAAAACUAAAAAGGAAAAUCUAAAUUUAUUAAAAAAACAAAAUUGUUCAAAAAAAAAAAAAGAAAAAAGGGCGGUGGACUUUCGCCGCUGCCCAUCGCCGAAGGGGCCGGCGAUCGUCGCCGGCCCUGGGCGGGGGCGAUGGUCGCCAUCCCUUGCCUGGGGCCGAGCAACCGUCGCCCGCCUUGGGCGAGGCCUCGUCGGCCCUCGCUUGGGGUCGGCGAGGCUCGCUAGAUCUGGGCGAGCCUCGCCCUCGCCAGCCACCCCUGCCCAGGGCCGACAACUGUCGCUCGGCCCCUUCGGCGAUGGGCGGCGGCGGCGGCGGCGGCGGCAGCGGCGGCGGGGAGAAGAGGGCUGCUUUUUUUUAAAACAAUUUUAAAAAUAACUUUUAUAACUUUUCUUUUUAAUUUUUAGAUAAAAUGAAUAAAUUUAAUUUUUUAGUUUUAAUUCUUUUUUUAAAAAUGAAUAAAAAUCAUUAAAAAAAUCCACGUGGAAAAUAAAAAAUAAUUAAAAAUGAUACGUCAGCAUUUUUAACAGAAAAAGCUAACGGUGUUAACUUUAGGACUUAAUUGAACUAACUUGACAAGUUUUAGGACUUGAUUGAACUUUUUGUAAUUUUAGGACUCAAUUGCACUUUUUGGACAAGUUUUAGGACUUCUGCUGAACAUAUCCCUUAUUUUAUAUAUGUUGUGUGCCUAAAGUCAAGACUUUUGACUUUGGGCCCACAUAAAUAACCUUGUUUGGCUCCCGUAGAUAAAGAAGAAACUUUGUUCUUUUUAUUAUUAUUAUAUUUUCUUUCCUCUUUCGUAAACCUUCACAAAGUCCAACAAAGCUUCUUCUAUUGAUCGAAACAAUCAAAGACCCAAAAAGAAUUUCGAAUUUAUUUUCUUGUGCAUAAUCUUGAAUAUUAUCUUUAUCAGAAAAAUAUCUUCACGAUCAAAUAAUAAAAUUUUUAUCCAAGCGGAUCGCAUUUUGCAAAUACUCAAACUCGAGACAUAAUUUAACACAUCCGACAUGAUAUACUGCCCAAUUACUAUCCUCUGACAAUUUAUAUUUGAUUAAUCUAAUUCAAGAAUAUUCAUUUGUUAGACUUGUUGGCUUACACGCCACUGUCACGUGAUAUAUCCUAUAUUGAGAAUACUCAAUGAGCUUUGACUCUAGAUACUUGGGAGCAUCUAUGCUUGUUUUAUGUAUGUUAUGCUUGUGAUGCAUCUUGUUUUGAGUGGACUGUAGAAAUAUUUAAGUUCGUGCCAAUUUGACUAAUUUUUUAUCUGGAUAAGUGCAUUGGAAGAUUUAAAACUUAUCAUAAAAAUACAAUUAAGCCAUGAAACUUUGAAAUCAAGUUCUAGAACUUGUCACAUUGGUCUAAUCUAAAUCCUACCAUUGCAUUUUUGAAAAUUUCGGUACUUAACUGCAAUUUUCUAACAAGUUUUAGUAUUUCCAAUAUACUUUUUUUUUUUCAACCUCAGUAAUGUUUUUAAGCAACAAUGAGCUUGACAUAUCUCUGUUUUCGGAAUUUCAGUGGCUAUAGGAAACAAAAGGACGUCCUCUAAUGAAUCAACAAUCUUCUGCCAUGACAAAGCUGGAAGAGAGAUGAGUGUCUUCCAUAGUUAUAAAAAAUGUUCAUGCAAUAAUCUGUAGGAAUUCGUCUUCCUGACGUGCAUGAACAUUUCCGGCCAUGAAACAUUUCACGGUGAAGACAUUCUGUCACUUAAACCGGCAAAAGGAUAUCGAGCUUGUUCUUUUGGCGAGUGUAUUGCCGUCAAAUAUGCCUGAUUAAUUCCACGACUAUUAGCAUUUGUUUAAAUAGAGCAUACAACCUAAAAUGCUCACAAAGGUAGCUGGUACUGGAUCCUCAUGUCUGCCCAUGAAAUUCUGAGUGCCUCAGACAUGGCAUAUCAGGCACACAAACAAUUCUCAACCCAGAAAUUAGUACGUACACAACAAAAGUUUAAAAAAAAAAAAAUUGGUUUGGUUAAUGUGGAAAUUUAACAUCAUGACAAGCAUAAAAAACUGUUCAGCAGUACAGUAGAGAGGUCAAGACCUGAGAACACUGUAUUGAGACUUAUUCAGAUGAACACUUCAGAUAGUCACUGAAAAGCUAAGGAGCAGAUGAAUUGAAUAAAGAACAAUGGCGAUGAUAAUACCUGCGGCUGAAUUUGUAGGGGGAGAGAAGUCCUAGAAACCGUCAUAGAUGCCAUAGCGAUGGAUGUUCACGAUUAAUCUUUGAGCUUACUAUUGUGGAAAAGUAUUAGUGAUUCGCCAAACGUAACCCAUGACCCUUCCUUAACCAAAGAACGCAUGCAAUGACAUCUUCUGGAGAGCGGCUCCUGGAAUUUUUCCAUCCACAACCUAAUUGCAUUAUCAACCUACUGACACAUAAAAGAUGUCAAUAGGCAAUGUGCUGUUGCACCACUGGACCCGCAAAUGGUCAUCAAUGUCGGUUAUACCGCCAAUAAUUUGUACCUGACCCUUCAUAGUCGUAUUAUUCGAUUAAUCUAUUUAAAGAACAUUCAUUUUCUUCAAACAUGCUUUCUCACGUGCCACUGUAAUAUGAUGUUUUUGAUACACAAAAUACUAUCUCUUCAAGAGCUUUGACUCCUAUAUACUUGGGACAUUAAAUUGUUUUAGCAACAAUGAGCUUGGGAUAUCUCUGUUUUCGGGAUUUCAGUUGCUAAGGGAAACAAAAAGGACGUCCUCUAAUGAAUCGACGGUAUUUUGCUAUAACAAACCUGGAAGAGAGAUGAGCGUCUUACAUAAUUACAAAAAAAUGAUCACGCAAUAGUUGGUAGAAAUUUACUCUGCUGACGUGCAUGAACAUUCUGAACAAAAAACGGAAAACAUGCAUGAACAUUUCCGGCCAGGAAGCAUUCACGAGGAGCUGAGAGACACUCUAUUUCUUAAAGCAGCAAAAUGAUUACGAGCUUGUUCUUUUGGUGAGUGGAAUGAAUAAAUUGUUCAAAAAAUCCUAAACUUAUUGUCCGACCACUAAUUUAAUUCUAAACGUUUUAAUUUGAUCAAUGUUGUCUAAAACUUUUGACAAUUUUUUGUAGUCCACCUAGUUAAAUUUAGGUCGAAAAUCAGUGAUGAAGCAAUUUAGUAAACACUAGCUGUUUUAAGUGAUACAACCGAUAGCUGAUAUAGAUGAUCUUAAAUGAUGUGGCGUCGUUUCACAAUUUUUUAAUAUUCUUUCUUUUUCUUUUUUAGUAAUUUUUUUUCCUAUUCUUUCGUUCUCUAGUGUUCAUUUUCUUCCCUCUGCCGGUGGCCGAUGCCUCAGCAAUGACCGGCGACCAUCAUAGGCUACAAGUGAGGGCAUUGAGCGAGACUUGCAAGCCUUCUCCUAGAUUUGGGCAAGGGCCCUAUAGGCCCUCAUUGGCCGUAGGCAAGGUUGGGGACUUGCAAGCCCUUGCCUAGAUCUACCCUCUAAUGGGGUCAAUGCCUGCCAUCACCAAAGCCUCAAUGUCUUGCUCUGGAAAGAAAAUGAACAGCAGAGAAGGAGACAAUAGGAAAAGAAAGAAAAAAGAAAAAGAGAGGAAAGGAAAAAGGGAAAAAAUCUGAAAAUAAUAACAAAAAAUUGCAAAAUGACGUUGUUUCAUUUAAGAUCAUCCAUGUCAAUUGCCAAUCAUGCAACGUGGCCUACCUUGUUGGAUGUAGUAGAUUUAGGAUAUUUUGAAUAUUUUUCUCCUAUUAAAUAUGCCCGGUUUAUUUGAUAUCCUAAAAUUUGUCAACUUUGUGAAAUCAAGUUCUAAAAUUUGUUGGCACUCUUUUCAUAUUGGAUGAAGUUAAUGAAAUGACUUGAUUACAACUACUUGGUAAGUUUUAUGACUUGAUUGUAAUUUUUGAAAAUUGUCGGACUCAAUUGCAUCUCUAUAAUAAGUUUUAAAACUUGAUUACGCUAUCUAAAAAUUUUAAGAUUUUCAAUAUACUUAUCCCUAAAAUAAAAUAAAAAGGGCCUACCCCCUUUACAUGAACUCUUUAAUUUAAACGCACCAUGGAAUUUCCUGUCCUUUUACACAAUUUCAUUAACUAAGAUUUUAUUUUAUUUUUUGGGUUAAAACCAAGAUUUAGUUCUUCUUCUUCUUUUUUUUCGGACCAGCCAAGAUUUAGUUCAAAGAUAGAUAUUUUGAGGAGAAAAAAAUUUCAGCAAACUAUGCAAGGAUUUGCAAAAGAUCGCAACAAUAUUACCGGAAGCAUAUAAUUAUUUAUCACUGACGAAUGAUAUAGUAAAAAUUCUUUUAGAAGUUUACCUUAAGUUUAGCAAGAUCUGCUUAUUCGGCAGCCUUGAGUUUCUUCGAUUCCUUCUCUCUUGCCUUCAAACAGAUAUAGAAAUGGCAACGCAGAAUAUCAAGAUAGAUUGCCAUUGACAAAGCUGUAAAAGCCUACUCAAUCGAGCAAAACUGGGACAGUUUUUCCAGCAAUCUUGACCACCUCCGUAGCAUGCCGUGGAAAUAGAUAGGAACACAUGUAGAGGGACAAGCUGAUUAUCACUUGCUUUUAGUCAAGCAUUCGAAACUUUGAGAUUCAUGCACUAUAAGAUAGCUAGACAAGCAAAAAAAAUGAUGGGCAUUUCAGUUGAGGUGUCAAGAGCAAUUAGAUUGAAUUCAAACCAAAUAAAGCUUGACGCAGAAAAGAGAAAUGUUGUGCAUUGAGCGAAUAUAUGACAAAAUAAGUGCAAAGAGAGUCAAUGAUGUUCUAGCGCUUUGGCCAAUUGAGUUCUUAAAAUUUUACUUUGCUUAAUUGAAUCCUCGGCCUUUUCAAUUUCAGUCAAUUGAGUCCCUCAACCUUGAUCCUCGGAAAUAGUCACAUGGCUAUGAUUUUCCAAGUUGAUAAGAAGAUGCUCGAGAAGAAAACCGGGUAGGAGGUGAAAUGGGACCUAAGUGCAAGUUUUACUAUUUCAGUAACUACAAUUGAUCUGACAGAAGGUUGAACUUUCAUGGAUCUGGCACUUCGUUUGAAGCUAUACAAACAGAAAUCAGCGGGCUCAAGAAGCCAAUCUUUUAGACAGUUUCUGAAUUAUCACACAGAAAAGCACUAGGAUAUCUUUACACAUUCACUUAUUAUAUCCUCUAUAAACUAACAGUUAUUAGAGUAUAUUAGGCAUCAUUUAUUUGUAGUACAUUAGGUACAGAUGUCCUCUCUCUGAAAUUCCCUCUUUUCCUCUUCUUACGAUUAGCUUUGCCAGAAGAUGUUUCCAACUUCCGACAUUGAUGAUGUCAUUUCAAGGAGUUCUCAAUGUUUAUCACAAAUCGGUACUUAACAUCUCUCUUGAUGAGCCCCUCAAGGGCUUCAUUGGCAUAAUCGAUCAGUAUCACUUCGAUUUCUUGGUGUAUGUGCUGUGGCGCACAGAGGUCUAUCAUUUCUUGGAUAUACUUCAUUCCUCCAGUAGCGCUACCCAAAACUGUUUUCAUACCUGCAAAAAGUUCAUUGUGAGCAACUUAGUUGGCUUGCCUAUCAGGUAUCAAUAUUUCAUUCGGUAAUGAGCUUUGAGAAUAAAAACAUACCAAGGUUAAGGGAGGAAGUACACUAAUGGUGCCAUAAGUUAUGUACGGCGCUCACUUUGGUGUCAAAAAUUUUUGUCGGAUCACUUAAGUGCCAAAAAUUUUGAAAAACGAUCACUUUGGUGCCAUCGUCGAUUUGGUUGGUCGGAAAUCUGACGUGACAAUUUUUUAUUAAUUUUUUAUGCCGACGUGGAUCGUCGGAUAAUACAAUCAACAAACAAAGAACAAAACGAUGCCGUUUACCAUUUUCCCCCAAAUAAAAACCCCUAAAUCCCUAAUUUCGACUAGAACUGGAAGUUGAAAACCCUAAAUCCCCAAUUCGACCAUUUCGAGUGCAUAUUUCGAUUUUCUGCCAAAGUUAUCAACUUGCUUUUGCAAAUGGAGGACAAAAGUUUCAACAGUGGCUCGCAUUCCUAUAAGAAAAGCGAAUUAGAUGGUGAGUGUUACUGUUAUUGUGGGUUACCGAGUCCGAGAAGAAUAUCUUGGACUUGGUUGAAUCCCGGGAGAAGAUUCCAUGGGUGCGGCAGAUAUAGAGAAAGCUCGAAGUGCCAUUAUUUCAAAUGGGUUGAUAGGAAAUUCUCUAAUCGAGCGACAUAUGUGAUAUUGGAGUUACUUGAAGGCCAAAAUCAACCUCCAUCUAUGUUAAUGGACGAGCUGGGGGAUGUCGACUCAAUACAAGCUCAAAUGAAGGGUUUAACAUCUCUGAUGGACCAUUUGAAGAGAGAGGUUUCAAGGCUGAAAAUUGAAAGAAACUUUAUCGAGCGUUGAUUGUAUUCUUAUUCUCUUGGGUAGUUUAUUCAAAUGUAAAGUGAGUAAUGAGAAGAAAUUUGUAUGUCUACCAUAGUCGAAGACGUGGAAUAUGCACUUGUAUUGGAUUAUUUAUAAGUAAAAUGUGUUUUUUGGUUUGUUGCAAUUUUUAUAUAGAGCAGAAUGUUUUAUUGUUGUAAUCUAUAGGUAGAAAUGUAAGGUUGGACUUGGAAUGCAUUAGUUGUGAGCACUUAAAAAGUUUUGUUGUUUAGUUGUGUAUUGUCAAUGUUUGUUUUUGUUAGUUUUUACUUCAAAUAUAAUGGUUUACUGCAUUUUUUAUUUGGUAAUAGUUUGCUGCAUUGAAAGCAAACGGUAAUGGUUUGCUGCAUUUUUUAUUUGGUAAUGAUUUGCUGCAUUGAAAGCUUUUGAUAAUGGUUUGCUGCAUUUUUUUUAUUUGGUAAUGGUUUGCUGCAUUUUUUAUUUGGUAAUGGUUUGCUAGUUUGCUGGUUUGCUUCAACUGUUAAACCAUGGCUGAAUGGCCGAAAUUAAAGAAUGGUGCCAAAUUCACGAUUGAUCAUUUCAGUGCCAUAAGUUGUAAAUAGUGAUCGCUUAAGUACCAAGUUUUUAUAGAAGUGAUCAUUUAAGUGCUAGUCGCAAUUACAAAGUGAUCACUUAUGUUGCACAAGUUUUUUAAAAAAUAACAUGUUAGUGCCAAACGUCACAUUCCAAAUGCACAGAGUUCUUGCACCAGUUGAGUUGCUGGUGCAUCUUCUUGCACCAACCCAUACAGAUGUCGAUGCAACAAGAUGUACCAGCACCCAAAGUGCUCUUGUAGCAGCACAUAUAAUCAGAACCCCACAAAUUCAUUAUAAUCCACAACUUUAACCAACAACAGCAACAUUGCAGCAACAACAACAUUGCAAUAACAACAAAAAUAAAAUAUAUAGCAUAACUAACUUGCUAGCAUUCUAGCUAAAACCAACACAAGAGAAAAUGAAAAGUCAUUCCAGUACUUGCCAUUAACAUUGCUUGAUUGUUUACAAAAUACAAAAUACAAAAAAAAAAAAAAAAAACAUGUCUAACUUCACUCCCUAAUCAUCAAAAGUUCAGCACUUUCCUAAAAAAAAACAAUGGCAAUAUGCAAGCAGCAACUACCAUUGAUGAUAUAAUAUCCAGCACACUCCUAAAAAAAGAAAACAUGGAAAGAGACCAUGUCUAGCAUCACAUAAAAAGAGACCAUGUCCAACACCCUCCCAUCAGUCAAUAUUGACAACACCCUGAUCUCUUUUUCUUAUUAGAGCUUUGAAUUGAUUCAUAAUCCGAGCACUCUUUCGAACUGGAUGUGCAGGUUCUUAACUGGGCUUUCUGUCACCUCAUUUUCCUUUUCCUUGUUUUUUACGGCAGCUAUUUUUGUUCUAGCACGUAUCAUGUGUUGGUCCAUAUCAUCACUACUGCUCCCAAUCGUUGGUUGAGAUGGAACUAGUGAUGGGUUCUUUUUGGAUGGCUGUUUCGCAGCUAUACCCACUGUCUUCUUCUUCUUCUUCUUUGGAGCACUCUUCUUUGGAUGCGCCCUUAAUUCUUGAGUUGGCCCACCUUGAGAGAGAAGUACCUCUGAAGUUCUCCCAGGCUACAAGAACAUAAUGAUAUUGUCAACCAAAUGAAUUGAAGUACAACAAAUUAAAUGCAUAAGGCCUAUAAAUUUUACAUUCAAAAUAGUCAUUCCAGUACGUUCAUCUGUGUAAAUCCCAUAACCAUAUUGCCUUAAUUUUUUUCCAAGAGCCCCUUUUGUUCGCUGUGAUGCAUCAUUUUCAGCAACAACAAUCUGAUAUUGCUAGUAUGAGUACCUAGAGGGGGGUGAAUAGGUAUAUAAAGAGUUUUUCUCAAGCAAUUGCACAAUACUAGACAGUUGGAUGAAACGAUAAUCAAAGUAAGACUGAGAGAAGAGAAAAUUUAAUACGCGGUUUAUAGUGGUUCGGCUUAUAUCAAGCCUACGUCCACUCUUCUUCACUGACAGCCUAUUGGCUGGAUUCCACUAUGAACAAGAGAGAGGUUACAGCACAGCUUUGCCUUGAUUCCACAGUGUAGAUGUUCUACUACACCUCCUCAAGAUUUCUCACAAAUAUAGACUCUCUCUUUCGUAUACAAGUAUUCGCUCAAAGGAUUUGUCUAAACAAAAAGAAGUUUCAGACUUUGGAAUUCUUCUAUCGCGCACACCUUGAACAACUAAGACAGUCUUCCUUAUAUACUCCUUUAUGCCAUCAUACCCGUUGGCACUUACCAAAGGAAUUCCUCCAAUCUACCCGUUGAACGGAAUCAAUUAGGAAGAUUGUCCAAGCUAUAAAUGGAACGUGUUGAUAGCCCAUCAAUCAUGUUCGCCCAUACAAUCAGGAUCUCGGUUUCCAUAAGCAGAACCUUCCAAUAAUAUUUAGGCAAUCACCGGAUCUUCAAUUAUCGAAUCAAUCUUCGAUCAAUCAAAGGACUCCGUUUAUGUCUUCUCCAGCCAUGAGAUCUUCUCCAGUUGAUAAGGUUAAAUCCUCAACGAAACAUCCAGUUCUGGAUAACCUUUCUUCAACAAAUUAGAGACUGUCAAUGAGGAUAGACUUUGAGUCUUGAGUCUAGCUGUCCUAAGGUCUUUAGACUUUAAAUAGCAGAGUCUGCAAGCCUUCAGACUAGACUGAUAUAAACGAUUUGUCAACUUCAAAACACUUCAAGAAGAUUUCUCCAACAAUCUCCCCCUUUUUGAUGGUGACAAAACUUUCCUGCAGAUUUGGAUAUCUUUGACCUGCAAAACAUUUCUCAAACACAUAUACAUAUCUUAUAGAGGUAAAUGUCUUAACAGAAUAACACUAGAAUCUGCAACCACAGAAAAUAGGUUAGUCCAGUAUAUGAUGAAGCCAUCCAUAAGAUAUCAAUAUUAGUUAAUAGAAGCAGUCAAGUCCAAGUCUAGUUUACUUCUCAUCCAAACACAAACCAAAGUCAAAUAGAUUCAAACCACAAAACAAUCCAACAAAAACAAUUAAAAGUUGAAUGAAAGGUUUUUAAUCAAAUCUUGCAUCUCUCCCCCUUUUUGUCAUCAUUAAAAAGGAUGAGAUGAAGUUAAGAAUGCUUGGGAACGCGGACAAGCUGGAAAUCUUCCAUAGACUGAACAAUGCCUUCCAACCUUUUAAAGUCUUCCUUUAGCUGUGCAAUCUCCUCACUCUUGGCAUUGGCCUGAUUCUGAACAGAGAGGGCUUGCAUUUUAUCAUUCAAUAAACAGGAAGAAGCUUGACCUUCAUUCUUCAAGCUUUGAACUUCGCAUCCCAAGGCAUAAAUCUGACCUCGCAUCUCCAAAAGAAUAUCCAUGAUUCUGCGAAAAUCUGCUCCAUUAUCAGUUUGAGUACUUGCUUCGGCUCGAUCUGAUGGAGUAAAUGCAGAUGAUGGUAGAUCAGCAUAAUCUUGCAGGUUUGGCGAUGAAACUUCAUGACCUUCUUCUGGAAAUUGAGAUGCAUAAACAUCCUCUGGAUCUGCUGGUGAGCGACUGAUUCCUUCACUUGCAUCAGGACAUGAAGACUUCACUCCUUUCUCCUGAUCUCCCCCUGUUUCCAUGCCUACAGGUGGAGAAGAGUGUUCUUCAGGUUCUCCUUCUUCUCUUCUUUCUUCUUCAGGUCUUUCCUCCUCUGUUUCUUUUUCAGCUUCUAUUUCUUCUUCUUCCUUCUCCUCUGCUUCUUUCGUCAUUUGCUCCGAUUCUUUCUGUGGAACAAGACGACUUAAAUUCUUCAAAGCCAAUGCAGAGAUGGUGAUGUCUUCCUCAUCAUCUUCAUCCUCAACAAGGAGAGCUCUUCUUCUCUUGGAUGGAGCAACCAUGGGCUCCUUCCCUUUUCUUUUAGCUGCAGAAGAUAUUUGAUGAGAUUUUGCAGGAGUCUUCUCCUUGAAUUUCUCCAACUCCUUGCUCAGUUCUUUCAGACGCAUUUUGGUCACCAUUUUCAGACCUACCACCAUAUGAUCGCAUGGUCGAACACAAAAGAUUUGUAGAGGCUGAAUAUUCAGAUGUCUGAAUAACUUCGUAACAAGGCUUGGGUAAGGGAGUUGACCUCCGUCCUUCAUCAUUGCUCUAUACAUGUGAAACAUCACAGUGUGAGGGAGAGAAAACCUUUUUCCAAAGAGAAUGGCAUACAUCAACUUGGCCUCUGAACUUGAAACAUCAGUCUUGGAAGUCGAUUUCGGUCGGAUGCAAUUAAUCACAAUCUUGUGAAGCAAGAUGUUGAAUGCACCCAUCCUUAAGUAGGUGAUCUUUUCAUCUGUUCUCCUGUCCUUCACCAGUUCAAGAGUGGCCCGAGCAAUGGAAACUUUGAUUGGCUGAUAUCUUCCUCUUUCGACUUCUAACACAUCUGCCAGCAUAUUCAUAUCCACAACAUAAUCUUGGUUUUUAACGCUGAACGAGAAUCUAUUCGCAUCCAAAAAGCUUAGAUUUGAAUAGAAAUAUGCAGUUAAUUCAGCAUAGGCCUCUGUAGAGUCAGAGCAGAACUUUUCAAGUUGAAGAUAACUGAACUUUUCCCUCAAGUUCAUAUUCACAGCAUCCAGAAAAUCGAAAUCUACACUCCUAGGGUUUAUCACCCCACGCUUCAGCAAUUUCGAGUACAGAUCCUUUUGCUCCUUUGAUCUGAACAAAUCUCCCCUUUUUCCUUGGUUAUCAACCGCAACACCCAUUUUCGGUUGGAAUUGACUGUACAAUUUAUCAUCAUCAUUCCCAUCUACAGGAUUCGGCCCCCAGUCACGAGGAUCACUUGGGAUAUUUGCAAGGGUUUCCUCAGCCACCCCUUUUCGAGCAAUUCCCAAACUUUCCAUUUUUUUCAGAAAGAUAUAUUCGUUCCCAUGUCCUUUGUCUUUAAGAAAAUCAUCAAUGUAGUUCAAAGGAGUACGAAUUCCUUUUAGGGCACGAUAUAACUGGUAAAUAUAAGUGGGCUUUUGAACUCUUACAGGGUCUGCAUCCUCGAUGAUUUCUUCCUGUUGUUGAUGAUCAACGCCUUGAGGACUAGAUGGAGGAGAAUGACACUGUUGAGAAUGUUGUGGGCUCGCUUGCUGAUCUGGAGUCACUUCAUCUUCAGUAAGAUCGAAGUGCGUAGGCCCCUCACUCAUCCGCCGUGGUCCCCUGCUUGCAAUUCUCGAAGACUUUCUUGAAGAUGACAUCUUAGUUUUUGGAAGAUUCCUUGCUUGACUUUCCCAGGAAAGAUGACAACUUUUUAAGGAUUAAACGAAGAAGACAAACGGGAAUGGAGGAUCGAUGCUUUCUAGGGUUUUUGAGAGAAAAGUGAAGAGGAAUCGAUAGUUCACGAUCGGUUAAGAAGAGGGAUAAACGAACCAUCAUAAAGGAAAUAAAAAUAUGCCUUUUCAAAAUAACUGUCUUUUUCCGCAAAAAUAGCCAUUUCAAAAAUAACUUCCCUUUUGAAAAUGAAACGAUGCAAUAUUUACUUCAAUUAAAUAUAGCAACAAUUUAAACACAGUCUGACAAUCGUACCUUUUCAAGAUGAGAUUCAAGAGAGAAAGACUUACAGUCUGACGGACGUACCAAGACUGUCUUUCAGAUAAAGUCUUGUAAGUCUGAGUCUGAAAGUCUUUAGACUUUGAUAUCCUCAUACCUCAAAAUGUUGAGUCUCGAGCGUAUAGACUCAAAUUGAUUUUUCUCCAAAGGCUUUGUGAAUAUAUCCGCCAGUUGAUUCUUUGAGUCAACAAAUUGAAUUGAAACAUCUCCAUUUUGAACAUGGUCUCUUAUAAAAUGAUGUCGAAUCUCUAUAUGCUUUGCUCUUGAGUGGAGAAUUGGAUUUUUGGUGAGGUUGAUAGCGCUGGUGUUGUCGCAAUUAAUUUCCGUGCAUGAGUCUUCAAUUUCAAAGUCUCUUAGCUGUUGUUUUAUCCAUAGAAUUUGCGAAUAGCAGCUUCCCAGAGCUACAUACUCUGCUUCUGUUGUUGAAAGAGACACAGUGCUUUGUUUCCUUGAAAACCAAGACACUGUCCUGCUUCCAAGCAACUGGCAAGUUCCCGAAGUGCUCUUUCUAUCAACUCUGCAAUCGGCCAGAUCUGCAUCUGAAUAUCCCAUAAGAUUAAAGUCUCCCUUCUUAGGAUACCAAAGACCGAUGCUUGAUGAUGAAGCAACGUAUUUAAUGAUGCGUUUCGCAGCACUGAGAUGGGAUUCUCUAGGAUCUGAUUGAAACCUAGCAUAGAUGCAAACACUCAACAAGAUGUCAGGUCUAGAAGCAGUAAGAUAAAGGAGUGAACCAAUGAUGCUUCUGUACAGCUUUUGAUCAACUUUCUUCCCUUCUUCAUCUUUGUCUAUCUUCAAAGAACUUGACAUCGGUAUGUCGGUCUUUUUGCACUUUUCUAAUCCAAAUCUUUUGACAAGAUCAUUAACAUAUUUUUCUUGAUAAAUAAAGGUUCAUUCCUUCAAUUGUUUUACUUGAAGACCAAGAAAGAAUGUUAACUCUCCCAUCAUACUCAUUUCAAAUUCAUCCUGCAUAGACUUAGAAAAUUUCUUGCACAUAUUUUCAUUAGAAGAUCCGAAUAUAAUGUCGUCCACAUAUAUUUGAACAAGUAAGAAACUUUUGUUCUCCUUUUUGAUAAAUAAAGUAGUAUCCACUUUACCUUUGACAAAACCAUUUUGUAUUAAAAACUUACUUAAUCUGUCGUACCAAGCUCGAGGUGCUUGCUUUAAACCAUACAGAGCCUUCUUCAGUCUGAAGACUGAGUCUGGCUUCUUUGGGUCUUCAAACCCUGGUGGUUGUUCCACAUAAACUUCCUCUUGGAUGACUCCAUUUAGGAAGGCGCUUUUGACGUCCAUUUGGAAUAACCUGAAAUUCUUAUAACAAGCAAACGCAAGUAAUAGUCGAAUAGCUUCUAACCUUGCUACUGGAGCAUAAGUCUCAUCAUAGUCUAUUCCUUCUUCUUUCAUAUAUCCCUUGGCCACGAGUCUUGCUUUGUUUCGUAUGACUUUUCCUUUCUCAUUCAUCUUGUUUCUGAACACCCAUUUAGCUCCAAUAACAGUUUUACCUUUUGGUUUGGAUGUCAAUUUCCAGACAUCAUUAAUGCUAAACUGUCUGAGCUCUUCUUGCAUAGCUUCAAUCCAGCUUUCAUUAGAUAAAGCUUCUUCUAUGCUUUUUGGUUCAAUUUUAGAAACGAGAGCCACAACACUAGACUUUUCUCGCCUUUUGGAUCUAGUGCGAAUUCCUUCAUUCAUUUCGCCGAUUAUAAGAUCUUUGGGAUGACUGGACUUAUGCUUCCAGUUACUCGUUGAUCUGUCUGGUUGAUGAUUUCUUUCUUUGUUUGGAUCUUCACGAACAUCUUGAAGCUGGUUUUCCAGAGUCUGAGAUGCUUCUUGAGAUGUAAGCUUUGGAAGAUCUGGAGCAGGUUCAGACUCUUCUUGAUGAGUCUGACUUGAUUCAUCUUGUGUUGAGUCUUGGAAUUUGACAUUCAUUGACUCCUCCAUAAACUGGCUCUUCUUGUUAUAGACUCUGAAGGCUUUGCUUGAUGUAGAAUAUCCAAGGAAGAUACCUUCAUCUGAUCUUUCUUCAAACUUACCAACUUGAUCUUUUGCAUUUUUCAAUAUAAAACAUUUGCAACCGUAUACAUGAAAGUAUGAAACAAUAGGCUUCUUAUCUUUGAACAAUUCGUAAGGGGUUUUCUCUAGAAUAGGUCUUAAGAAGAUUCUAUUGAUGAUAUAACAUGCUGUUGAAACAGCUUCAGCCCAAAAUCGUGAAGAAAUCUUGCUUUCAAAUAAAAGAGUUCUAGCCAUUUCCUGAAGAGAUCUGUUCUUUCUUUCCACAACUCCAUUUUGCUGAGGAGUAUAUGGAGAGGAGAACACAUGAUUAAAGCCAGAUUCAUCACAAAAUUUUGUAAAAUCUUGAUUUUCAAAUUCACUUCCAUGAUAUGUUCUUAUACUUGAGAUAACACAUCCUUUUUUCAUUUUGAACCUUUUUAGCAAACUUUUCAAAAUACGAGAAGGUUUCAGACUUACUUGCAAGGAAAUAUACCCAAGUAAAACGGGAGUAAUCGUCCACAAUUACUAGGCAAUAUUUCUUACCUCCAAUACUCUGUGUUCUGGUUGGUCCGAAGAGAUCCAUAUGCAGCAACUGUAGUACAUGAUUAGUAGAGACAUGAUUUAUUGGCUUGAAUGAAUUUCUUAUCUGCUUUCCCAGAAUACAUGGAGUGCAUGGAUCAGUCUUUUGAUAAGGUAAUUUGGGUAGUCCUUGAACAAGCUGCUUUGAUGAGAUUUUGGCUAAUUGCUUCAUGUUAACAUGACCAAGCUUUCUGUGCCAUAAGCUUGCUUCGUCUUGAAUUGAGAUAAAACAUUGCGAUUCAUUUGGUUUCACAUCCAGAAGAUAAAUGUUUCCAUGUCUACGACCCAUGAAAGACUGAGUAGAGUCUUUACUGAUUCCAGAACAUAUUCCUUCUUGAAAAAAGAUCUUGAAACCAGUAUCACACAAUUGACUAAUGCUGAGAAGAUUGUAAUUGAGUCCUUCCACUAAGGAAACAUUACUUAUUGUGAGAUUUCCAAUUUUCACAGUUCCAAAUCCCACAAUACUCCCUUUGUUGUUUCCUCCAAAUGAAACUUUUCCACCAUUUACUUGAGCAAUCUUUAUAAAACAAUUUGAGUCUCCUGUCAUGUGUCUUGAGCAUCCACUGUCAAGAUACCACUUUACCUUUUUCUUGACGGUGACCUGCAUUUAAAAAAGAGUCUCAAGCUUUCUUUGGUACCCAAACUUUCUUGGGUCCUUUUGUGUUAGUAACAUAAGCAGUAUUAGCCCAUAUUCUCUUAACAGGUUUCCAAACCAUAGGACACUCUUUUUCAAGGUGAUCCGGACUGUUGCAUUUUGAACAUUUUAGAGCAUUUCUUCCUACAGAUUUUACAAAAACUUUCUUGAAGUGAUUUUUGUAAACCUCUCUCGAGAGUCUUUUCUUAAUUCUUUCUUUUACUUUAGGAAAAUCAAUCAGGGGAAUUGUUUCUUCUGUCAUACCUAAACCGGACUUAUUGAAGUAAGGUCUUUGAGCUGAAAGAAUUUUCUCAAGUUUUUCGGACCCUAUUGAAAAUUUCUUUGAGAUAUUUGAUAAGUCUGUUUUUAAAAAAGCAUUUUCUUUUAAAAGAUCAUCUUCAUUUUCUUUAAGAGUGGAAACAGUCAAGUCAAGACUUUUAACUCUUUCUACUAAAACAUUUUCCUUUUGUUUUAGAGCUGAGUUUUCCUUUUUCAGUUCGGAAAUUCUUUUGAGAGAAGUCUUAAGACUAAAACAUAAUUCAUCAAUAUAUUUAGAAACUUUGACAGGAAUUUUAAUAUCACUUGCCUCAAAUUUACUGUCUGAGUUUGAUCCAGAGUCUGAGUCUGAUUGUGCCAUCAGACAUAGAUUGGCAUAUUCAUUAUCACUUUUUUCACACUCUGUGUCACUCCAUGUUUUGGCUUUGAGAGCUUUUCGAAAUCUUUCAGCUUUUCCUUUCUUCUUUUUCAGAAGAGGACAGUUGGGUCUGAUGUGUCCCUUUUUCUUACAUUCAAAGCAGACUAUGUCUUUGUUUGGUUCCUCAUCAUCAACAGACUUGGUCUGCUGUCUUUGAAAGCUUUGUUUCUUUGAAUUGAACCUUCUUCCUUUUCUAUUCAGUUUUCUGAAUCUUCUUAUCAUGAGAGCAAGCUCCUCAUCGUCCAUAUCUUCUUCAGAAUCUGUAUCAUCAGAAUCAUUAUUUGAUUUUAAUGCAAUGGAUUUCUUACCUUUUGGAUCUUCAUCUUCAUUGAUCCAUUCCACUUCAUAAGACUGAAGAGUUCCAAUUAGCUCGUCGACAGAUAGUGGCAUAAUUCUUUGCGUCUCUCUUAUCGAAGUCUUUAUGUGAUUCUAAUCCCUGGAGAGUCCACGCAGUAGCUUGUUUACCUUCAUGGGAUCAGAAGUUGGUUGACCUUGAUUUUCAAGACCAUUCACAAUAUCUGUAAAACGACUAAACAUGUCAGAUAUAGAUUCUCCUGGUUUCAUUCUGAAGGCUUCGUAUUGACCAAGAAGAAUGUUGAUUAUAGUUUCCUUCACUCGAUCUGUUCCUUCAUAAGUGAUAUGCAAUCUAUCCCAAACUUCUUUUGUUGUACCACAAGAAGAUAUUCUAUUAUAUUCAGUUGGUGAUAAAGCACAAUAUAAGGAGUAAAUUGCUUUUGCAUCGAGUGCUUGUCUUUUGUUUAUUUCUUCCUGAGACAUUCCGCUGGUUUCAUCAGUUUCUUUUCCUCUUUCAGAUACUGAUGCAGUGGUAGGAGUAAUUCCUUUUUCUACAACGUCCCAUUCCAGAGGAUCCUUUGAUCGAAGGAAAGCUUUCAUCUUGUUCUUCCAGAUGUUGUAAUCCUUUCCAUCAAAGUAGGGUGGUCUGGUAUUGCUUUGCCCUUCCAUCAACCCUGGUGCUAGCAUACUAGCCAUGGAUCUUUUACUACGAAGUAAAACACUUCAAAUAAAGUAAGUACACAGGCUCUGAUACCAAUUGAUAUUGCUAGUAUGAGUACCUAGAGGGGGGUGAAUAGGUAUAUAAAGAGUUUUUCUCAAGCAAUUGCACAAUACUAGACAGUUGGAUGAAACGAUAAUCAAAGUAAGACUGAGAGAAGAGAAAAUUUAACACGCGGUUUAUAGUGGUUCGGCUUAUAUCAAGCCUACGUCCACUCUUCUUCACUGACAGCCUAUUGGCUAGAUUCCACUAUGAACAAGAGAGAGGUUACAGCACAGCUUUGCCUUGAUUCCACAGUGUAGAUGUUCUACUACACCUCCUCAAGAUUUCUCACAAAUAUAGACUCUCUCUUUCGUAUACAAGUAUUCGCUCAAAGGAUUUGUCUAAACAAAAAGAAGCUUCAGACUUUGGAAUUAUUCUAUCGCGCACACCUUGAACAACUAAGACAGUCUUCCUUAUAUACUCCUUUAUGCCAUUAUACCCGUUGGCACUUACCAAAGGAAUUCCUCAAAUCUACCCGUUGGACGGAAUCAAUUAGGAAGAUUGUCCAAGCUAUAAAUGGAACGUGUUGAUAGCCCAUCAAUCAUGUUCGCCCAUACAAUCAGGAUCUCGGUUUCCAUAAGCAGAACCUUCCAAUAAUAUUUAGGCAAUCACCGGAUCUUCAAUUAUCGAAUCAAUCUUCGAUCAAUCAAAGGACUCCGUUUAUGUCUUCUCCAGCCAUGAGAUCUUCUCCAGUUGAUAAGGUUAAAUCCUCAACGAAACAUCCAGUUCUGGAUAACCUUUCUUCAACGGAUUAGAGACUGUCAAUGAGGAUAGACUUUGAGUCUUGAGUCUGGCUGUCCCAAGGUCUUCAGACUUUAAAUAGCAGAGUCUGCAAGCCUUCAGACUAGACUGAUAGAAACGAUUUGUCAACUUCAAAACACUUCAAGAAGAUUUCUCCAACACAAUCCUUGUAGCAACCUCUGCAACUUGUGCAGUUGCUCGUCUUCUCACCUAAGAAACACAUAACAAAUGUAAAUUUUAGCCCAUAAAAAGGCCAAACACAGUGAUGUACAACUUACAGGAUAUUUUUUUCUUGUUUGCUCAACGGUGGACUCAGUUGUUAUUGUUGCUGUCUUACCAAUUCUAGUCCUUAUCCCUGCACUUGAGCCUACAACAUGGCCUUUUUCUGGCCCUUUAGUAGGCCUUACAACAAUGUGCUGUAUUAGGAUUAUGACCAACUACAACGAAUAAUUACACAUCUCAUUUUCAUAGUGGAAACACAUGGAGAAAACUUCUCAAAUUACAAGUGCAUGACAGAGGAAAAGCACAAGAGAAGCUAGUACACAUGGUCAACCAUCAAACUCUAUCGAAUAAGAACUGUAAAGUUACUGAGAUAAAGAGGAUACUUACCUUACAGUAUGGCUUUCUGUUGCCCUUUAGUAGACAUUACAGCAGGGCCUUCUGUUCUCCCUUCAAUAAGCCCAACAAGAAACUCUUUGUAAGUCAUGUCCCUGGCAUUGAAUCAACCAUUACAUCUUGCUAUUGAUACUGCUUUUUCAGCUCACAACCUUUCUUAUCGUGCCCUUCCUUGCGGCAAUAGGAGCAUUUCAUAUUUGAUCUAGUCCUACUCAUCCUUUGACUUGAUGCCUCUUCCUAUUGCAUUCUUCGUCUCUUUUUUGGCCUUCAUAUUUGCUUCUUCAGCGGUAAAGGUAGAGGGCUUUAAUGAUUUGUUGGCUCCCAAAAUUUGCUGCUUCUGAUAGGCUACAUCAUGAAUUGGUAUGAAGCAAGGUAUGAGCUUUUUUUGUACCAAUCAUCUAGGUAAUCAUCUAGGUUUUCUUGCUUCAUCUGAAUAGCACAAAUGGCAUGAGCACAGGGAAUUCCAUUCAGUUGCCAAGCUCGGCAUGAACACUUUCUUCUAUCCAAGUUGACAACAUACUUAUCAUGAUUUGGAAUAAUCUCAUACCCAUUAUCUUCAUUCCAAACUGGAUGGCAGAACCUACUAACAGCAAUAUUUGCAUCUAAUCUCUUCACAAUCCUAGGGCCACAGUCUCUACUCCAUUUUGUAGCAUCAUCUCUUUGCCUAUGCAGUCUAGUCAUAACCAUAACUCGAAUAUCAUCAAGCAUGCUGAUGAUUGGUUUGCACCUAGCCUCUAAAAUUCUACCAUUGAAAGCUUCAUUGAGGUUGUUAUCAAUGUUAUCGCAUUUGAACUCUUCGCUGAAGAAGACCCGACACCAGUGCUUAGCUUCUGUCUGGAAGAGUGUAUCAAAACCUUCAUUUGUCAGCUGUAACAAUCCUUGUUUCGCUAAUUUGAAAUCAACCAUAUUCGUACUCUUUGCUAUCUGCCAGAACUGCUUCUACAACAUAUCUCCUUUGAAGUUCCUUGACCAGUUUGCAUAUAUGUGCCUCGUGCACAUUCUAUGCUCAGCAUGUGGCAUCAACUCAGCCAAUGCAGGAAUAAGUCCAUACAAAAAUUCAAACCAAUAAAUACAAGUCAAGAAAAAUAUGCAAGUGAUUAAUAUAUAAAUGAGUGAUUAUUGACAUGAAAUUACCUUCUAUUGGUUGCUCAUGAAUGCCCAUCCUCCCCCAUCGGUUAUCACAAGGUCAGUCAUCAAAUUUUUUAGGAACCAUGACCAAAUAUCCUUGUUCUCUAUCUUUACCACCGCCCAAGUUAUCGGGAACAUUUAAUUAUUGGCAUCUCUCCCCACAGCAACCAACAACUCCCCCUUGCAUAAACCCUUUAGAAAGCAUCCAUCCAAUCCUAUAACUCUUCUACAACCAACCAAGAAGCCCCGUUUGCAUGCAUCAAAACAGACAUAAAAUCUAUCAAAUUUAGGCCAAAGAUCAGGGAGUGGCCUCUUCACAACCUCUACAUAUACCCUACUGGAUGGGUUUUGAAACAUGUAUUCACCAGCAUAAUUCCAUACCUGUGCAUAUUCUUCUUUAUACCCACCCAUCAAUAUUUUCAUCACCCUUAUCUUAGCUCUCUUACAUUGAUUCCUCGACACAUUAACCUCCACUUGCUCCUUCACUAAUUGUUGAAAUUGAGAACUCUUGAUCUCGGGCAUUGCUUUGAUAGUAUUAAAAAAAUUCUUUGAUAACCACACACUUGUUACCCUUUUAUUAUUAAAGAUAAUUGGACAAGUAUGCUCCUCCUGAAAGGACCUAAGCUAGAAUGACCUAUUCUUACUAAGCGCAGCAUAGAGCUUCCAUGAACAAUUAGGUUGUGAGCACUUAGCUCUCACAAAUUCCUUCGUGUUUCUAAUAAAUUUAACGCUCCUCUGUUCACCAAUUGAGUUCUUCACAACAGCUUCCUUGAACUGUUUGGCAUUGUCAAAUCUCAUGCCCACCGACAAAACAGGUUUAUCAACAGUUGAAUCAUAGAAAGGAUACUUACUUUUUCUUCGAGGAGCAGGUUCUUCAUCAUCAUUGUCAAGCUCAUUUUCCGAACUAGUAACUUCAUCGCCACAGCUUUCUUCAUCUUCACUUCUAUUACCCUCAGCUUGAUCUCCAUCCCUAUUUACUGGCUCGGACCUUUUUGCUAAAGCUACAAGUUUUUUUUUCUCAGAAAUUCCCUUUGCUUUUGUCUUGACUGUACGAGUUCAUCAUCAUCUUCGUCACUUGGAAAAUUUACUAAAGCCAAACAUUCAUCUUCCGAUUCAUUAGAUAAAGCAAUUUCCCAUUCUAAUCCAAUGAAGUCUUCAUCGCCCACAUCUUCACCCAAAUCUUCACCCAAAAUUUCAGGACAUCUCCCUCUUUGUUCAUCUCUAUCAAUAUGACUUAUCUCCCUCUCAUUUUGCCCUUCAUCUAACCUAAACUUAUCCCCGACUUGAUUACUCGUUUGAACAAGAUCCCUCACUUCUCCUCCUUCAGUGGUCGUCUGCUCAUCCACAUCCUCAUCCUCAUCCUCACUAUAAUACUCAACAUAUACCUUAACUUCUUCAUUGUGAAGAUAAUGGUAAAUGAUAUCCUUAAUACCAUUAUCGUUGUUAAAAAAUCUUAACCCAUCCUUCAAUUCCUUCCCAGGAACACAGUAAUGUAGUUUUUGCACUUUGCAUCGUAAAAAAUACACCAAAUCUCUCAGAAAAUCAAUAUAUGAUGGCUUCCAAACAUUGACAUAAAUAGUACCUUAAUUUCCACUAUUUUAUUAUCAAUCUUCAGUGCCAAUAACAAACUCUCCACCAUAGUAAACAAUGACGCUUACCUGAUUCGUGUCCAUGUCGAUGCUGCACCCAAUGAAAAAAAAAAGAGUCAUUGUCGUUUUGUUGGAACCACAUGACAGAAUCGACAACUUCACAUGUAGGUCCUUAUCGUUUUGUUGUCAAGGAACAAAUGCGACUAAAAUCUCCCCAAUUCGGUGGAUUUACAGAAAUAAAAGAAACCGAAUUAAAUAAACAAAGUGAGGUCCCCACCACUCAUUUUUCAAUUCAAUCACAUUCACAUUCGGUCCCCCACAAAAGCAGUCCAAUUAAUUAAAUAAAAAAAUUCGGUCCACCACUGUUUCCCUCCGAGUCAAGCCUCUCCGCACCAUUUUUUCUGUUCGGUCCUCACAAUAGAAAACGAACAAACGAUGGAAGAAUCAAUUUUUCUAUUCCGUCCCCAUAAAAGUGACAUCCCCACCACUUUCCCCACUACUUUCCGCUUGAGCCAAGCCCUCAAUUUGCCCUCCGUGCCCUAAUUUGCCCGUCGGAACCCUAAUUUUUUCGCAAAAUUGAUCCACGUAGAGAACAUGACAAACUUGAACGAUCGUGAACAAUGGCGCAACUACAACGGUGGCCAAGCGAUAGUGGGCGAGCGACAGCAGGCGAGCGAACGACGGUGGGUGAACGACAGUGGGUGAGCGAGCUCCGGCCAGCGUCGAGGAGAAUAAUAUACGAACCCUAUUUUACUCCCUCUUCAGCAACAUCGUUUUUUGCUAUGGAGCAACGCGGCGUCGUUUCUUAUGUGAAUCCACGGUGGAUGGCAAGAAACAACGUUGUUUCUUACAAAGAAAGGAAAACGGCGUCGUUUUAUGCUAUCCACCGUGGACAAUCUUAAGCCACAUCGUUUUUUUUUUAAAUAUAAAAGCCACGUAUUUAUUUUGGCCGAAAUUUCUCGCCAGUGGCACCAAAGUGAUCGUUUUUUCUCCGAUUUGGCACUUAAGUGAUUUGACGGAAACUUUUGACACCAAAGUGAGCGCCGUACACAACUUAUGGCACCAUUAGUGUACUUUUCCCCAAGGUUAAGGCUUGCCACACUGAAUGUAACUUCGCUUUGGGACCCAACCAACGCUAGAACGCCACCCGUCUUCAAAAGAGACAUGUAAGGAUCAAAUAGGUGAUCAGCAGAUGCCGUGUCGAUUAUAAAGUCCAGGGACUUAGCCAUGGCCUGCAUGUAUUGGAAUCAUCAGAUCACGGUAGCACUUGACCUUAAUGGAUCUAAAGUAUUGAUAAUUUUAAAUCUUCCCGCCUGCCUUCGUCUAUUCUUGGUCAGAUGAGAUAACGAAGUGGUCAGCACCAAGCAAGCUCAGUGCUUCCUCCUUUUUAGAAAUGCUUGUACUAAACAUAGCGAAUUUCAGUCCAUAAGCCUUCCCAAGCUUAAUUGCCAUGUGACUGAGCCCACCGAGUCCAAUUACACCAAGAGACUUACCCGGUUGGUUCAUCUUGUGACGCACCAUUUGAGUGUAUAUUGUGAUUCCAGCACAAGGCAAUGGUGCUGCUAAAGCCAACGGGAAGUUUUCUGGAAUCCUGAAGCAGUACCUGUUAAUGAAGCACCACAAUUAAGUUUCCAAAUCACACCAAAGGAGGAAGGGAUUUCCCAAUAGAAUCAGCAUCCCAUCUUUUUUGUACAACGGGAUUCAAAUCACAUUUUACUUGCUUAGAGCACAAUUCAACAUCAUGUGGUUUCUGUGAUUCUUUUUCUGACCACAAAUUGCUUAAGACGAAAACUUCUUGCUGUAGCGACGAAAGUAAAGCCACUGCAGCAUACAGGAGGCCAUACUUGAUCAAAAUUGAGAAAAGAGGCUUGCUCUAACAGAGUACACUGGAAGCAUAUUGCAUAUGCAUGGCAGAUCAUGUAAUUUCUCUAUUCCCCUCAAUCAUGUCUCUAAGGGACACGAUAUUCCCGUGACUGUCGAAUACAAGAAUCCGUGAAAGCACGUACAUUUUAUUACCCAUUUGAUCUAACACUUACCAUCUAACUCUUGGAAACAAUCUAAAAAAAGGGAGGAAGAGGAGAUAGAAGGCAAGAAUUGAGCAAUUUCCAUCUGUUUCUCUCUUUUAAUUAAGAGUUAAUAUCCUAAAAAACUCCAAAUUGGUACACAUGUGACAAAUUUACCCCGAUGGACUAUUAAAAACCCUAAAAUUAUAUAUUUAUGACAAAUUUACCCCAAACUAAUUUAUUCGACCACAAAAAAAAUGGUAAAUUUGUGACAAAUAUAUCCUCCACUAAAUUGAAUUAAUACCAUAGUAAACCGUGACAAACGGAGCGUAAAAUCUCAAAUUGAUAUACUAGUCAACUGUCACAUGUCAUUUAACUUAAUAAUUUGACAGUAAAAUUUAAUGAAAACUAAUAGAAGGUAAAUUUGUCACAAGUGUACCAGUUUAGAGUAAAUUUGUCAAAUAUAUAACAAUUUAGAGUUUUUUGUGGUAAAAAAAAAUAGUUUGGAGUAAAUUUGUCACAGGUAUAUCAGUUUGGGGUUUUUUAGGGUAUUAACCCUAUAAUUAAUUUAGUUUUAAAUUUAAUCUUAUUAAUUUUUCAUGAAAAAUUCAUAUGUUAAAUUUAUUGGCUCACAUGUCAUUGUCACUUGAUGUGUAUGAUAUAUAGAAUAGUCCAAGAAAUUUGACUUUAGAUACAUGGGAACCCGCGAAUGGUCAUACAUUGUCGAUUACACAUUCAACAUGAUGUAUUAGCUAAUCAUAGUCCUCUAACGGUUUAUAUUUGCUUAAUAUAUUUCAAGAAUAUUAAUUUGUUAGACUUGUCCGCUCACACGCCGCUGUCACUCGAUGUGUAUGAUAAGCAGAAUAGUCGAAGAGCUUUGACUUUAGAUACUUGGGAGUGUCUAUGCUUGUUUUAUGUCUAUUAUGCUUGCAAUGCUUCUUGUUUUGAGUGGACAGUACAAAUAUUUAAGUCCGUGUCAAUUUGAACAAUUUUCUUUAUUAUAGAGCAACAGUCUUUAAUCUAUUGUGUUCUUGACCACAAAAAACCAAAUAACAAAUAAGUAUAAAUUAUUGUAGGGUCCAACGACAAUCUUUAAUCUAUUGUGUUCUUGACCACAAAAAAUCAAAUAAUAAAUAAGUAUACAUUAUUAUAGGACCCACUCCUUUAAAAAUUUGUUGUUCACAAAAACUUAUUUAUUCUCAUAAUAACCCAAAGUUAUGCUAGCAAAAAUGCAAUUUAAUCCUAAAAUUUGUCACGAAAUGCAAUUGAGUCCUAAAAUUUUCAAAAAGUACAAUUAAUUAUAAAGAUUUAUCAAAAUUGGUCCAAUUUAAGUCAUUCCAUUCAUUGCAAUUUUUGAAAGUUUUAGAGCUCAAUUAUGCUUUCCUAACAAGUUUUAUGACUUAAUUAUAAUUUUUGAAAAUUUUAGAACUUAAUUGUAAUUUAUGAUAAGUUUUAGGAUUUCUAGUACACUUAUCUUUUUUUUUUGUUUUUCACCUCAUUAAUCUUUUUUGCAACAAUGAGCUUGACAUAUCUCUGUUUUGAGGAUUUCAGUGGCUAGGGGAAACACAGGGAUGUCCUCUAAUGAAUCAACAAUCUUCCUGCCAUGACAAUGCCGGAAGAGAGAUGAGUGUCUUACAUAGUUAACAAAAAUGUUCAUGUUAUAAUUGGUAAGCAUUCGCUUUCCCAACGUGCAUGAACAUUUCCGGCGAUGAAACAUUCGUGAGGAGCCAGUAAAGACAUCCUGUUAUUUAAACCGGCAAGAGGAUAUCGAGCUUGCUCUAUUGGCAAGUAUAUUGUUGUCAGAUAAGCCUAAUAAAUCCGAUAUUUUCAUACAAAAAAUCGUCAUCGAGGCCAACUUAAUCCAAAAUGCCAAUGGACAGGCUUGGGUAAGCUAGUGGAUAGGUAUGCCGCUUUAUCUUAUGUCGUGUUAUCUCACGAGAGAUGGUGCUGCGUUCUCUUUAGAAUGCACAUGACUUGGGAUAGGAAAACCUUAGGAUCCGACUAGGAGGAAGGAAAAAAGCAAUCUAUUGUCGGGCCAAUAUAAGAUCAUUUCAUGUCAAACUCCGCAGUCUUGAGGCCAUGGAAUCUACGACAUACUUGCUCAUUCACAAGGACUGAGCAAAUAAAUGAUAAAAUAAGAGCAAUGGUCGUCAUUGAUCGUCUGCCCUUUAACUGAUUGGAUUCUAAAUAUUUUAUUUUCAAUUGGGGUCUAAAUAUUUUAUUUGAUUCAAUUGACUUCUAAAGAUUUCCAAUUUUAGUCAAUCAAGUCCCUCAAAUAUUAUCCUCGGAAAGAGCCACAUGGCUGUGAUUUUCCUAGUGGCUAAGGAGAUGCUUGAGGAGAAAACCUGUAGGAGAGGCGAAGCCAUCCAAGCAGAACUCUCAAGAAGUCAAUUUUUCAGACAGUUUCUCAAUCAUCACAUAGAGAAGUACCAGGAUUUCAUUACCCAUUUCACUUGUUUCUGCUAUAAAACUCACGAGUAUCGAAGUAUAUCAGGCAUAGUUUAUUUGUACUCCAGCAGAGCAAUUAAGAAGGCAUAGAUGAUGCUCUCCUCUAGCUGAAAGCCCGAAACUCCCACUUUUCCUCUGUGUGAUCAGCCUUGCCAGCAACAAUUUCCAACUACCCAAAUUGAUGUUGAAAUUUAAUCAAAUAGACUCAGAGAAGAAAACAAACAAGAGAAUUGUUGCUGUAACUUUCGUUACUUUAUUCAUCAGAACAUAAGCCUAUUAAAUAGGCAGAACAUCCAAACCACUUAGCAAGACAAUAGCUAUAGAACAACAACAAAGACCCACUAACAUACCCCACUAACCAGAACAUAUGCAGAAACUAACUCCUAAAAACAAGCCACAUCCUAUUGACUAGGACUCCACUAUUACAUUAUUGAAGACACGUAAAAACUGAAAGUUAACUACUUCAACAAUUGAUGGUGUCACUUCAAGGAGUUCUCAAUGUCAAUCACGAAUCGAUACUUAACAUCUCUCUUGAUGAGCCUCUCCAGAGCUUCGUUGGCGUAAUCGAUCGGUAUCACUUCAAUGUUUGGGUAUAUCUUCUGCACCGCACACAAGUCUAUCAUUUCUUGGGUAUUCUUUGUUCCUCCCGUUACGCUACCCGUAACAGUUCUCAUAUCUGCCAAAAGUUCACCGCGAGCAACUUAAUUCACCUAUCAGGUAUGAAAUUUCAUUUAGUAAUCAGAUUUGAGAACAAAAACAUACUGAGGUUAAGGCUGGCUGGACUGAAUUUAACUUCGCUCGGGACGCCGACCAAUGCUAGAAUGCCACCCGUCUUCAAAAGAGACAUGUAAGGAUCAAAUGGGUGAUCACCGGCUGCCGUGUCGAUUAUAAAGUCCAGGGACUUAGCAAUGGCCUGCGUGCAUUGGAUUUAUCAGAUCACAACAGAAUUUGACCACCAUGGAUCUCAAUGUGGAUAAUUCUAGUUUUUCCUCUUUUUACCUUCAUCUGCUCCAGGUCAGAUGAGAUAAUGAAAUGGUCAGCCCCAAGCAGGCUCAGUGCUUCCUCCUUUUUAGAAAUGCUUGUACUUAACACUGUGACUUUCAGUCCAAAAGCCUUCCCAAACUUAACUGCCAUAUGACCGAGCCCACCAAGUCCAAUUACACCUAGAGACUUACCAGGUUGGUUCAUCUUGUGACGUAUCAUUGGAGUGUACACCGUGAUUCCAGCACAGAGCAAUGGCGCUGCUAGAUCCAUCGGGUAGUUUUCUGGAAUCCUGAAGCAAUACCUGUCAAUGAAGCACCACAAUUAAGUUUCCAAAUAACACCAAGACAGGAAGUGAUUUCCCAAUAGAAUCAGCAUCCUGUCUUUGUUGUCUAAAAGGAAUCAAAUCACAGAGCCAGAAAUCCUAUCUUCCACAUGCUUGGGAAUUUUACUUGCUUAGACCACAAUUCAGCAUCAUGUUGUUUCUGUGAUCCUUGUUCUGACCACAAAUUGCUCUAGACAAACAUUUCUUGCUGUAGCAACGUAAAUAAAGCAAUUGCAGCAUACUGGAGACCACACUCGAUUAAAAUUAAGAAAAGACACUUGCUCUAAGAAAGGAAACUAGUGGCAUAUCAUGUAUGCUUGACUGAACACGUAAUUUUGUAUUUCCUUCAAUCAAUUUCUCCAAAGGACUCAAGAUUCCUGCGGCUCUAUCAGAAACAAGAAUUAGUGAAAGCGCAUACAUUUAGCUACUCAUUUGAUCUGAUACUUAUGAUCUAACUCUAACAAUCUAAGGACAGCUUAUUCCAUUCUUGACAAUGGUUAUUCAAAAGAAAGAAUUUCUUUUCGCAUUUAAUAAAGCCAGUUCUCCAUUGAAUGGUUUGAAUGGUAAUUGGAUACAGAGGACUUAAAGACUCUCCAGAGUCGUUAUAGAAAGUAUCUUUAUCCCUUUCCACAAGAUGCAAUUAAUGCCUAAAAGCCAUUCCUCACAGUCCUAUGCAUUAUGCCACUUCUGGUCACAAUCAGAAUAAGAAGAAAAUUAGCAGAGAAGAAGACAUGACAUGAAAUCUUUUUUUGGCCACCAUGAUUUGGAAUUCUGUCACAGUGCAAAAUGCUGCCUAAUAACACUGUGUCAGUAAGCAAUUACCUUUCAUGGACGACAAUGUGACUAGAAUAUCCUCCCUUUGUCACUGUACCAUCUGCAUCAAUUCCAUCAAAAGUCAUAACCGACUUUUCACAUUGGACUUCUAGCCUGUCAUUGCAAUACUCGCACUCUCUGCAUGAAUUGACAUAAGUUCCCACCCCCACAUGAUCGCCAACUUUGAAGCGUUGGACACUGGAGCCAACCUGUUUCACAAUUCCAACUAUCUCGUGCCUGAAUCAAUCAAAAAAAAUUUUCGCAAAUUUUGUUCAGAGAAUUAUGAGGAUGGUGCUAAGAAAAAAGAUUUAACAUUUGAAUCCCGCUGCAUCCUACCCCGGCACCAGAGGAUACUUGGAGUGUCCCUGCACAUUCCUAGUCCAAGCCACAUCUGCGUAGCACACUCCACAGUGCGUGAUCUUAAUCGAGACGUCUUCGCUUCCCACGGCCCUAAAGAGAUGAUUCCCAAACAGGUGAGCAUAUAAUCCAGUGACUAAUCAGACUAGGGUGCCCUUUUUUUCCAUUUUCAAGAUCAACAAACUAAACUUGACCUACGAUUAUUGAGGAAACAAGAAACCAGAAAUGAGAAAAGGAAAAAUUCCAUGACUACAAGCAUAUUUGUCCAUACGGUAGAUACAACCUCAAAUGCUCAGAAAGGCAGCCAGUACAGGAUCCUCAUGUCUGCAGCCAGUACAGGAUCCUCAUGUCUGCCAUGAAAUUCUGAGUAACCCAUAACCAACAAUUCUCGACUCAGAAUUCAGCGCAUACACAACAAAAGAAAGAACGAAAAAAAAUGAAAUGGUCUGGACCGAAACUGUCUCUCGUGAACACUGUACUGAGACUCUCGCAUGAACACUUCGGUAGAAAUCGAAAAAGAAAAAAAAAAAAAAUGGCAAUACCUGCGGGUGAAUUUGUAGGGGGAGAGGAACCCAGAAGGGUCCCGGGCAGCCCAACCGAGGCAAUCCUCCUUCCCACCCUCCGAGCUCAUCUUCUGCACCUACACACCCGGCGAAGCAAUCACACAAACAGGUACGGUUAGAUUCAUCCAAAGAAGAAGAAGAAAGGGUGAGAACGCGAACGAGAGAGUGCCCAAGAUCAGAGACUCGACGGGUCAUCACACGGCGACGACUCGAGUCACAACGAGCUCGCCAUCACUCAUCAACUCACUCACUCACCCACCCCCACCUACCCAAGCACAACCCCACAGCAACUCAGAGAGAGAGAGAGAUGACUACGGAGAUGGAGAGAGGUUACGCGGUGGUGGAGUAUGCGGUAGCGCGAAGAGGGUGAUGAGCCGAGCAGAGUCGAGGACGGGAGGUUCAACGAAGACUUUUGCCCCCUCCUACUUUGCAGGAAAGCUACGAGUCGUCGUAUGGAUUUUAUGGCGGUGGCCCCUAGGCUCUAAAAGAAGGUUCGAGGAGCCUACUGCCUAGCCUUCUUUUGCUGUUGGUUUCAAUAUCUGCUGCUUUUCCGCCUUAGCCCAACCGACAUCGCCCUCAAAAGACAUCAAAGAUAAGGUAGUUGGAAGGAAACAUCAUCCGAAACUUAAAGAUGGGGUAGUUGGAAGGAAACAGUAUACGAAACUUUGGUUCAAUAGGUAACGUGAUUUUCUAAAUUUUUAAUUUACCCAAUAUGAUUUUUUAAAAUUUUGGUAUAGAUUCAACUUAGUCUUUAGAGUAUAUAUUGUCGCAAAUUUUAAAUUAAUAAAAUGACGACGUUGAAUAUUUUCAUAUGAUCAAAUGACAACAUUAAAUAUGUACUAAAAUUUUGAAUAAUAUUGAAUAUUUUCAUAUAAUUUUGAGAUUAUAUAGAAUAUGUAUCAAAGAUCAUUAACUAUAUAGUUCCGUUCAAUUUGCGGAAAAUAAUUUCCGAAAAACCGUUUUUCAGAUUUUUCGACAUUCAUUUCAUGAAAAAUGAAUUCAUUGGGAAAAAUGUUUCUUCUAAAUUAAGGGAAAAUGUUUUCCACUUUUAAAAAGUGAAAAACAUUUUCUUCACUCGAUCUCUCUUAUCUUACACCUCUAAAAAUCUCUACUUUAUCCUCACAUUUCUUUUUCUUCUUUUCUUUUUUUAAUUCAAAUUAUUUUUAAUUUCCUUUUUAUUUUAUUUUUAAUUUUUCUUUAUUUUUCUUUUUCUUUUCUUUGUUUCCCAUCUUUUCUUUCUUGGCUAGUUGUCAGUCAUUACCAAGCGAAUCUCGAGUUCGUCAAUCUUAAGCUCACACUCUGUACUCUUACUUAUCAUUUUCUUUAUUUACUCUAUCCUGCAGUUGUAUAUUGCUCAAACAAAUGGCUCUACAUGCUUUGCUUCUUUUUUCUUUUGUUUAUUAGAACACAAAAGACGCAUGAGAGAACAGGCCACUCAACUGGAAGAUUCUCAUUAGGGCUGUACAUGCUUUGCUUCUUUUCUCUUUUACUUCUUUUUAAAAUCCAUACAGACAUUUUUUAGAGUAGAUGAGCGUUUGACAACAAUGAGGGAACAAAGAUAUGCUCGAAUUUAAAUGCAAGUUCAUAUUUGAUGGGUUUAUAGGUCGGUAAGUGAUGCAUGCCUAAGUGGUGAAGUCUUAGAAAAUAUUUUCCUUACCAAACACCGAAAAAUAAUUUUCGAAACAUUUUCAAGUUUUAGCUUAACACUAGAAAAUAUUGUAAUUUUCCUAGAAAAUGAUUUUUGGAAAAAUAUUUUCCGGAAAUGACCAAUUUUUCACGAAACGAACGGACCCUUAGUCUCGGGAGUUUCUAUGUUACAUAUGAUCUAGUCCUUCAACUUUUCUAUUUGUAUACACUCAAAUCUUUUGUCAUAUUCAGUUUUUAUGCAGUUAAGUUUUAUUUUGUUCAUUCAAAUCAUUCAAUGUUCUCGACUAGUGCAAUUGAGUGCUUCACUCACCCAUCAUAACACACAAUUCCAUUUUUCUUUUUCCAAGUUUGCUUUUCGCUCAUUUGGCACCACCUCAACAUUGUGCGAUAUUUUCUACCUCAAUGAUAAUACUAUGUUAUUGAUUACUAUGACACAUUCAGCAAGAGGAUUUACUGAACGAUUUAAUUGCACGAAUCAAGAAAGUUAGAAGACUUGAUUGAACAAAAUAUAAAGUUAAGAGGAUCAAAUUGUGCCGAUAUGGAAAUUUGGAUGACUAAAAUUGCAUCAAACCCUUUUAUAGGGAGAUGGGUCAGCCACAAUAACAUAUUCUUUUUCAGUGACUGGCUUUGACACAACCAAUGCAACAUUAGUACGAAAAUGAAAGAUGAGUGGACAAAAGAAGGGCAACAGAUGUUAAACGAAACCUGUUUCCCAAAAGCACCAUGCAGAAACUUCCUUUCAUUGGAAAAUUUUUCUUGAAACGGAACUAAAGAUUACUGGCUUCGACAUAACCGAUGAACAUACCAAGAGCUGAGGCCUUAUCCAACAACAACGUGAAAAUGAAAAAUGAGUUGAAAAGAAUGGACAGCAGCUGUCAAAUUAAACAUUUUUUCCAUGUCUCGUUCAGAACUUGUCACUCCUUCAUUACAAUCUUGACCCUUUUGAAAUUGGAAGUGAAGGUUACUGGCUUCGACAUGACCAAUGUAUAACUUGUCGCUCAUGCAAUAUGGUAUAUAGAAAUGAAAGAUGAGUAGAAAAAGAAAUGGACGAUUGCUGUCAAAUUAAAACCUUUCCCAAGUCAACUUGUCGCUCCCCUUCCUUCCAUUAAAAUGCUUUUAUGGUGGAACUGAAGAUUACUGGCUUUGACACAACCAAUGUAAACCCUCCAAGAGGUGAGAGAACUUAUGCAAAAGUAUAAAAAUGAAAGACGAGUCAAAAAGAUGAGGACAAUAACCAAAUGCGUGCAACUCAAUUGCACUUUUUGAUAAGGAUAAACUGCACCUCUCCUCAUCAUUGAAAGAGAUAGGAUUAAACGCAGACGUGAUUGACAUAGAGAUUCUUACUAGAAAUUAAAUAAAAAUAAGUCUUUCUUGGUAACAGGAUGUUUGUUCUCGUGACCGUGUAGGUCUUUCUAGGUUCUCUGACGCGUGCCAUGAGGUCAUGGCAUGUUAUGCAACCAGAGAUAUCCAUUCCAUAUUUCUAUGGUAUCUAUCCAUCGUUACCUCCCGUGAACCUAAGAAGAACAAAACCAAUCCAUAAAGCUGGAGGAUCAAGAACAACCCGCCCUAAGUUAUUGAUGAACUGAGUUAACUGUUUGAAGCCUAAGUAGCGAAUCAUUUAAAGUUUAAGCUACUAAAAUGUCAGAUGCCAAACAGAAGGAAAAUCUACAGAGCCAACAUCUGCAUCGGAUCAACGAUGGCAUAUCAACAACUAAGGGAAAAAUCUGCUACUAAAUAUUUAUCUGAAACUAUAAGCGAGGAUCACGUUGCACUUGCAUAAGUCUGUUAACGCAGGUCAAUGGUCAUGUUCUGGCCAGCUAUGUAAGAAGUUUGAAAACUCUACACGGACAGGCACCAUUUGCAAGAAGACCUGUUCCCUCAAAUGCUCAUCUUUGUACUGAGCUGGAAAUGCUUUUAGCAGAUGACUGUGCCUCCAGAAACAAAUCGCAUGAAGUGGCCCACAAUUCUCUGGCAAGUCCAGUGUCGUACGAAACUAAAGAAGAGUUGAUAGUCCGGCCCUUCCCACCAAAGAAUACACACCAGAAAUUUCCUAUAUUUGCAAGACAGCGGCUAUUAGUAAGCACUGUUCCAACAUAUAAUAGCAGCCGCAUAAGAUUGAUACCACAGAUUAUCAGCAGAGAAGGGAAAAUCAAUUCUGGAAACACUCUGUCAUACCGUAGAAUCAACAUUAAUGGAUUUUACGUCCAAUGCUAGUACGACCUCAAUUGAGGAUAAAACGAGAGAGACUCAUUCAAGAUGGUUCAGAUAAGUGAAGCACCAGUACAGGAAUGCUUUACACCAGCCCCAUUUAGUGGGAAAAAAUCACUAUCACCCAUAUCUGCAGCUGUGGUUGCCUAUUGAGAUGAAACACAAGUGAUUUCAUUGCAGUCCCAUCUAGCAGUCCCAUCUAGCAUAUAGCAGAAAUUAAAGAUAACGAUUGCAGUCAGAAAAACACAUAAGAGAAUUGUUGCUGUAACUCUCGUUACUUUAUUCAUCAGAACAUAAGCCUAUUAAAUAGGCAGAACAUCCAAACCACUUAGCAAGAAAAUAGCUAUAGAACAACAACAACAAAGACCCACUAACACACCCCACUGACCAGAACAUGUGGAGAAACUAACUCCUAAAAACAAGCCAUUUCCUAUUGACUAGGACUCCACUAUUACAUUAUUGAAGACAUGUAAAAACUGAAAGUUAACUACUUCAACAAUUGAUGGUGUCACUUCAAGGAGUUCUCAAUGUCGAUCACGAAUCGAUACUUAACAUCUCUCUUGAUGAGCCUCUCUAGAGCUUCGUUGGCAUAAUCGAUCGGUAUCACUUCGAUAUUUGGGUAUAUCUUCUGCGCUGCACAUAGGUCUAUCAUUUCUUGGGUAUCCUUUGUUCCUCCCGUUAGGCUACCUGAAACAGUUCUCAUAUCUGCCAAAAGUUCACCACGAGCAACUUAGUUCACCUAUCAGGUAUAAAAUUUCAUUUAGUAAUCAGAUUUAAAACAAAAACAUACUGAG